UCUGCUUCGCUGGUUGGUGGUGAAGCACAGAGAUGCGGUGUAUGGUCUGGAGUUCAUCAACGAGGAUGACGGGAGGUACGAGAUGGACAGUUUCCGGCGUAAAAGUACUACUACUCAAGAUGACGAGGAUGUUGAUGAAUAUGACGACGACGACGAUGACGAGUACGAUGUCGAGGAAGAGUAGAUUGGUGUCUCAAGAUCUCUCACAAACUCUAUGUGUUGUCUUCCCAAUAUUGUUGACUAUAAAGUAGAGCAAAAAUUAGAACCAUUGGACUUUGCUGUUUUUCGAAAGAACCUAGCGCACUUGAAAUCUGACUUUGCAUGUUUUUCCCAUGUAAGCUCCCAAUAAGGAACCCAUGAUCUAAUUGGUACAUUAUCAUCACUAGGUUUAUGAUGUGGUACUUAUUUGCUUUGUCAGUCCGUUGUGAAAGAGUAUAGCAAAAAUAUGGAAAACGCUGCAUACUCCUGAGUUGUACAACAGCACUGGAUUGAUUGCUAUUUAUUCAUCAGCAUAGUAUGUACAGAGCGGUAAACUCCCAAAAGCACACCCUGGUACAGAAGUAGUAUAGGCGGAUGCUAGGCGCCAUCCGACUGAUCCGCGGCACGGGAUCAGUUGCCUUGCAUGCCGUCUGAUGCAAAGGACCACAACCGUUGGAUCAUCUCUACCACGCAACGCACGCCUGUAGUACCCAGACCCUGCAGUAUUGUGUUCAUCUAAAAUCUCGUACCUUAUUUCUUUUGGUAAAGGCUUGAGUUCCGGAGGAGGGAGUCCAUCUCCCUUCUUUUUAGGAACCUCAAAUUUCUCGCCAAUUGUGGACUCUUGCUUUAGAUGUUGAUCUAUUUCCAUCUUACUAGGAUCUUUGGCGAAAAUUCACUGGCGUGCUCGUCCUCGCCUGCUCACGUUAUCGUGAAGCGUCCACUCUUUCUGGGAUGCGGGACGUCCUCUUGCUCCAUUAAUGUGUACCCCGAUCAUUUAAUGUGUACGUUGAACGGAAGAGCUGAUGUCGAUAUGUUGCAUGCAGACGGACGUGUAAGGUCCAUCAACGGCGUUUGGACAUGGGAUUCGGUCAAAGACGGGCUGGGGUCGGGCCACCAACUGCAUUUAACCCUGCCUCUCCCCUCACGGUCGAUCCAUUUGAUUCUAACUCUGGCAAUCUUAUAAAAAAAACUAAUUCUAACACUGCCAGUGCUGUAAAACGAGAUUGAACUUGAGUUUCGUCAUCGUAAGCUGCGUUACCGAGUAUGGUACAAUCGAAAAAAGUAUGAUGCAACCUAUGACAGUAGGUUUGAACAUACACUUCAGCAACAAUUUAUGGUUAAGAAACUUACUAUUUUUGCUGGCAUAUUUUUGUAGUUGUCGCUCGCCUCCCGGUCGAACACCAAUCAUAUGUGCUGUUGGACAAACAAAUGCAUGGGGCAGUUAGGACAUCUUCAAUGGCAACCAGCAAAUUUUCUCCCGUAUCCGUCCGUGGACAGGAGGGGACCAGUCUACGAACACAGAUGCGGGAUGCAACCAUCCAACCGUAGCCACAUAUAUUUUUGCGACAACUUGAACCAACCGGACAAAAUUUGAUCAAAUCGAAUGAAUUUUGAUAUAAACAUGGCGAAUUUCAUUGAAACUAGAAUAAUUUGUACAUAAAACCGGACGAUAUUUCGUCCGUGAAUUAAAAACCAAAAAUAAAACCCUAAAUUGUCCUAUACUUCACGAUGACCUCAUAGGCCAUGCCGGGCUGGCCGGCGGCUCCUCCUCCGUCAUCGCGGCCCGACUCGGCAUCAGAGUCGUCGUCGUCGAGAUUGGGCCGGCGGAAGGUGGCGGCAGUGCGGCAGGGCCAUGUGAAGGGCCAGUCAGCCACUUCAAUGCGGCGCAACGGCCGGAGUUGGUUCCUCGGAAACCUGUGUCCACAUUGAAGCGGCGGCUGCCGAGAGGUCGCGUCGGUCAGCACCGCCCUCCCUCCCUCCGGCCACAUCACGACAUUAAUGCGGCAGGGCCAGGAGAACUAGAAGUUUCCCCUAGCUUCUAGGGUUCCACCUCUCCUCUGGCGAUCUCGCUAGAGUCCAUGUAAAUUCUCGCCGAUCGCCGGACAUCACCGGCCGCCGGUGAGAUCUACCUUAUCCCGUCACGCGCGCUAGCAUGCAUGGCGGAUCCAAAGCGACAGGAGCUCGGGGGGAAGGGGGAUGAGUUGGCGGCGGAACUAGGGUUAGGGGAGACGGAGAAGAACAGAUCGGAGGCACCGGAGGGAUCGGGGGUGAGGAGGGAUAAUCUGUACACCAGGGAGGCGGAAGGGUAGAGCCAAAGAUCGCAGGCGAGGGGAAACAUCCCUGUUGGAGCGGAAGAUGAGUUUGGCGACUACCCCGGCUCUGGCCCUGAUCUAGAGGAUCAAUUUGCUGGGAUGAGGCUGCAUGGGAAAGAGGAGGAGGAUCUCGAUUUUUCAGUGGAGGUGGAAGAUCUGGUUAAGGACGUGCGCUGGCUUGCUCUCUUUCGGGUUCAUACGACCAAGCCUUUCAGCCACGCGGCGCUCCUGUCACAGAUGCGCAACGCCUGGUCUGCGGCGCAGGGGGUCACCUUUAACAUCAAGGGGCCAAAUCUCUUUCUUGUUCAGUGCCAUUGCUUGGGGGAUUGGAGGAAGAUAAUGGAAGGAGGGCCAUGGCUGUUCCGGAGGGCACCAGUUGUGGUUCAGGAAUACGAUGGUUUCUCUAAUGUGAAUGAAUAUCGGUUAAACAGGGUUCCGGUUUGGGCUCGCAUCAAGGGGCUGCCGGACGGUCUCACACAAAAGAGAGAGCUGGCUAAGAAAGUUGCGGCCAAGGUAGGCGAGCCCCCUUUCACGGUCAUAGUGAACGAGGGAAGGAUUAACCCGGCAAGCACCCUACGAGCUAGGGUUUUUGUGGAUGUCAAUGAGCCGCUGGUUCGAUUUGUUCCUAUAACUUUGAAGGAGCAUAAGAAGUAUAGUGUUUUCUACGAGAAACUCCCUGAUUUUUGCUUUGCCUGUGGGCGGAUGGGCCAUCUUGCUGAUGAGUGCGGAGACGGGGUUCACAACCUAGAUUCCUUUGAAUGGGGUGAUUGGUUGCUGUGGGAGCCAGAGUUGCCUGCGGCCCAACCGUACGGUGGCAGGGGCCGAGGAGGGGGUAUCGGAAGAGGAAGAGGAGGUGAAUCAGGGAGAGGAGAGAGGGGUAGAGGAGGAAGGGGACAGAUGGGUGGUAGAGGAGGGGGAGUGCCUGCAGAUGCAGACAGUGUUGGUUCACAACAUAUGGACCUGGAUGAUCGUGGUGUAGCUCAGGCGGAUGAAGGAGAUAAAGGUUCUCGGAAGAGAUUAGUUGCUGCGGAUGGCUCUAUAAAUAUUCGAGGGCAACAACUUUCUCACCUUGCGGGAAAGGAUUCAGGGACCGUUCUGCUAAUAGAAGGGGCAACAACAUCGGGCUCUAACAACACUACAGUUUCCACGCCAGAGAAGGUGCAUAUUGUCAAGAAGAGGAGACAGGAGGGAGAGGAAGGAGAUGAAACAAUGCAGAUGGAAAAGGCGGCCUCCCUUGAGGAGGGCCGCCGAGCCUGAUGAGGACUUUAUGCUGGAAGUGCCGUGGGAUAGGCGACCCCGCGACAGUUUAUGAGCUCCACGCUCUCGUGGAGGAUAGUGCGCCGUCGGUUCUUUGUAUUGUGGAGACGCAAAUUGCAAAAAAUCGAGUGGAAGGUUUGGCGGCUUCAUUAGGUUUUCAUAGUAGUUUUGCAGUAGCUAGUAGUGGGCGGAGUGGAGGUUUAUGUAUUUUUUUGGAAGAAUGAUGUUAACUUAUCAAUAAAGAAUUUUUCGCAGUAUCACAUUGAUGCUUGGAUUUCGAGCCCAGGUAUGGAUCAAUGGCGUCUCACGUGCUUCUACGGGGAGGCCAACAGAAGCUUGCGGUAUAACACUUGGGAUACUAUGAGGAGGCUGAGGGGGGAGAGCACCUUACCCUGGCUUUGCAUAGGUGAUUUCAACGAGAUUUUAUGCCAGGAGGAACAGAUGGGGCCCAAUCCUCGAGACAGCGCACAAAUAGCAGGUUUCAGAGAGGCAGUAGAUGUGUGCGGGCUGUCGGACCUAGGUUAUAAGGGUCUCGACUGGACUUUUGAGAAGCGAGUGACAGGAGGACAAUUCUGUAGGGUCCGGCUAGACCGUGCUUUGGCGACACCGAGCUGGUCUAACUUAUUCCCCUUUGCUACUGUGGAGCACUUGAUAGCAGCAAAAAGUGAUCACAGUCCGAUCCUGCUAAAGACUGAGAUGGAAACAGGCUGUCAAUGAACAAUUGGGAGGAAGCCCUUUCGUUAUGAAUGUGCAUGGGAUACUGAUGCACGCUUUAAAGAUACAGUUGCAGAGGCGUGGACGGGUGACGGUCCAGCAUUGACAGUGGGAGAGUUGGCUCAUAAGCUACAUUCUGUAGCGGCUUCUAUGUCACGGUGGCACCAGAGCACCUUUGGCUCGGUUAGACAGGAGAUGCGCUCGCUGCGGAGUAAGCUAGCUACACUCCGGGCAGACCCGUUGCGAACUUGCCCAAGUCAGGACGAGAGAAAGCUUGAAGAGCGCAUGAUCGAGCUAGCGUAUAGAGAGGAGAUUAUGGCAAAACAACAUUCACGCAUUACGUGGUUGGCUGAGGGAGACAGCAACACGAAAUUCUUUCAAAGAAAAGCCAGUGCUCGCAGGGCAAAAAACAGGAUAGUGCAAUUGAACCGGAAUGAUGGCACGGCGUGUACGGAUCCUAGUGAGUUGGCUGGUAUGGCGACGAACUUCUAUAAAAAUUUGUAUGCUUCUGAAGGAACUAUUGGGAUGAAGGAGGUCCUGUCACAUAUACCUGUAAGAGUGGAUGGUAACAUGAAUGCGCGUCUCAAUAAAAGCUACAGUAACGAGGAGGUAAAACAAGCUCUUUUUAGAUGUUUCCAACUAAGGCCCCAGGGCCAGACGGAUUUCCCGCGCAUUUUUCCAGAAACAUUGGGAUUUGUGUGCUGAUGAGGUUACAAGGAUGAUCAUCCGAGUGCUUGAUGGAGUUGAUUCCCCGGAGGAGAUAAAUAAUACGUUCAUCGUUUUGUUUCCCAAGAUAUCCAGUCCAAAAGUUUUAGGACAGUUUCGGCCUAUAAGCCUUUGUAAUGUGAUCUACAAGAUCGCUUCGAAGGUUCUACCAAACCGGCUGAAAUCUAUUCUCCCUCAGAUCAUCUCUGAAGAGCAGUUUGCAUUUGUCCCUGGACGUCUCAUUACGGACAAUUUUAUCAUGGCUUAUGAAUGUUUGCACUACAUGAAAACUAGAAAGGUGAAAGGGAAUAGGUUUUGCGCGCUCAAGCUAGAUAUGAUGAAGGCAUAUGAUCGUUUGGAGUGGCCCUACCUACAAGAAGUGAUGACAAAGAUGGGAUUCAGCCCCAGAUUCACGGACACGGUCAUGAGGUGUGUGACUUCAGUCUCCUUCUCUGUCUUGUUUAAUGGUGGUAGUCUGGAUGCUUUUAGACCUUCUCGCGAUUUGCGGUAGGGUGAUCCCAUAUCGCCGUACUUAUUCUUGCUAGCUGCGGAAGGGCUUUCAUGUCUGCUGAAGUCUCAAGAUGGCAUCCAAGGUUUGGCGGUUGCUCCCAAUGCUCCGCGGGUCAAUCAUCUCUUGUUUGCAGAUGAUAGUUUACUCUUUUUUGAGGCUAAUGAUGUCGCUGCUACACGUGUUAACGAGUUGCUCACAGCUUACUAUAAUGCAUCGGGGCAGAGGAUUAAUGUGGAAAAAAGCUCAAUUUUUUUCAGCAAGGGUGUAUCAGACGCCACAAAAGGUACGAUAAAGAAUAUCCUUGAGGUGCAUAAUGAGUCUUUAACAGAGAAAUAUCUGGGGCUGCCCUCAGAUGUGGGGAGAGCGAAAGAAGGCUCUUUCAAAUUUUUGAAGGAUAGAAUAUGGAAACGAGUGCAGGGGUGGAUGGAGAAGUGUUUGUCUGCUGGAGGAAAAGAGGUCCUUAUCAAGUCCGUGGCCCAAGCCAUUCCGACAUACUUGAUGGCAUGUUUCAAGUUACCUCGUGGUUUAUGUGAGCACCUAAACAGUCUGAUUCGGAAAUUUUGGUGGGGAAGUAAGAAUGGUCAGAGAAAGACAGCAUGGGUGUCUUGGAAAACUAUGUCAAAACCGAAGUUUAUGGGGGGCCUGGGCUUUCGAGAUAUCGAGUUAUUCAACAUAGCGUUACUUGUCCGUCAAGCUUGGAGGUUACUGCAACACCCGGAGUCCCUUAGUGCUCGAGUUUUGAAAGCUCGAUAUUUUCCAAACACUGGUCUACUACAUGCCACUCUGGGAUCAACCCCCUCCCAGGUAUGGCGGUCUCUUAUGGAGGGCAGGGACAUCCUAGAGCUGGGUCUAAUAAAGAGGAUUGGAUCAGGCACAAGCACAAGUGUUUGCCAGGAAAACUAGAUCCCGAGGGAUUAUAAACUGAGACCGAUCUGUGCCCGUUCGGCAAACCCCCCCGGCGCUGGUCUCGGAGCUUAUUGAUCCUGCCACACGAACUUGGAACAAACAUGCUCUUACUGAACAUAUUAUUGCGGCUGAUGUGGAGAUUAUCCUGAAUAUACCCCUUAGCACGAGGAUGCAAGAGGACUUCUGGGCGUGGCACUAUGAUAAACGUGGGAUAUUCUCUGUGAGAUCAGCUUAUAGGAUGAUUUGUGCCAUAAAAACUCAAGAGGGAGGAUUGGCUAGAGCAUCGGCCGGGUCAUUCAAAUAUUGCAGCGGACAAUAACUCUUGGACACAAUUGUGGAAGGUGAAGAUCCCAUCAAAAAUAAGAGUCUUUGUCUGGCGUUUGGCACACACGUCUAUCCCAACGGGACUUGUUCGUCAUGAAAGAAAAAUGGCCGACACUCCUGCCUGCUCUUUAUGUGGGUCGGAGGAGGACACUUGGCGUCAUUCACUCCUCAACUACCGAAUGGCACGGUGUGUAUGGGCGUUGGAAGACGACGAGCUGGUGGGGCAUGUGAUAUCAAACCAAACCGAAGAUGCGAAGCUAUGGUUGUUCUGGCUCUUUGAAACAACGAACCAGGAUGAUCUAGCUCGUGUUUUGGUAACCAUGUGGGCAAUAUGGUGGGCCCAGAGAAAGGCAAUCCAUGAGAAUGAAUUCCAGAGCCCGCUCUCAACUAUGUGUUUUAUCAAGAGAUUUCUGGAAGACCUCGAGAUCGCUGAUAAGCGCACACCACGGACUCAUGCUGGACGCGUGGAUGGACAUCAGGCAAAAGUUUGGUUACCACCUUCAGGUGAGGCAGCAAAACUUAAUUAUGAUGGGGGCCUUUCAACCUUGGGGGAGAAAGGAGCAGCUGGAGUUGUCUGUCGAGAUAAACAUGGGAAAUUUUUGGGCGCGUCGGCGGUGGUUUUUGAUGGCCUGACUGAUCCAGCAAGCUUGGAGGCACAAGCAUGCAGCGAGGCGCUAGCCCUCGCACAGGAUCUGAACUUACAGGAGCUAGUGAUUGCCUCAGACUGUGUUGAAGUAAUAUCUAACAUAAACAAGGCAGGAUCACCAUCUUAUGCUCCCAUCUUAAGAGAAAUUGAAGUCAGUAGGACAAACUUUGCUUCUGUUAGUUUUCGUUUUGAGAGUAGAGUUAAUAAUUUCAAGGCCCACUCGCUUGCUAAGGGAGCUGCGUCUCUCGCGGUGGGUCGCCAUGUGUGGCUUGGGGUUUUGCCAGAGAUUGCUUGUAUUCCGGAUGUUUUGAUCCUUGAAUAAAUACCCUAGUUACCCUAAAAAAAUGGUACAGAAGUAGUAUAGGCGGAUGCUAGGCGCCAUCCGACUGAUCCGCCGCCCGGGAUCAGUCGCCUUGCAUGCCGUCUGAUGCAAAGGACCACAACCAUUGGAUCAUCUCUACCACGCAACGCACGCCUGUAGUACCCAGACCCUGCAGUAUUGUGUUCAUCUAAAAUCUCGUACCUCAUUUCUUUUGGUAAAGGCUUGAGUUCCGGAGGAGGGAGUCCAUCUCCCUUCUUUUUAGGCACCUCAAAUUUCUCGCCAAUUGUGGACUCUUGCUUUAGAUGUUGAUCUAUUUCCAUCUUACUAGGAUCUUUGGCGAAAAUUCACCGGCGUGCUCGUCCUCGCCUGCUCACGUUAUCGUGAAGCGUCCACUCUUUCUGGGAUGCGGGACGUUCUCUUGCUCCAUUAAUGUGUACCCCGAUCAUUUAAUGUGUACGUUGAACGGAAGAGCCGAUGUCGAUAUGUUGCAUGCAGACGGACGUGUAAGGUCCAUCGACGGCGUUUGGACAUGGGAUCCGGUCAAAGACGGGCUGGGGUCGGGCCACCAACUGCAUUUAACUCUGCCUCUCCCCUCACGGCCGAUCCAUUUGAUUCUAACUCUGGCAAUCUUAUAAAAAAAACUAAUUCUAACACUGCCAGUGCUGUAAAACGAGAUUGAACUUGAGUUUCGUCAUCGUAAGCUGCGUUACUGAGUAUGGUACAAUCGAAAAAAGUAUGAUGCAACCUAUGACAGUAGGUUUGAACAUACACUUCAACAACAAUUUAUGGUUAAGAAACUUACUAUUUUUGCUUGCAUAUUUUUGUAGUUGUCGCUCGCCUCCCGGUCGAACACCAACCAUAUGUGCUGUUGGACAAACAAAUGCAUGGGGCAGUUAGGGCAUCUUCAAUGGCAACCAGCAAAUUUUCUCCCGCAUCCGUCCGUGGACAGAAGGGGACCAGUCUACGAACACAGAUGCGGGAUGCAGCCAUCCAACCGUAGCCGCAUAUAUUUUUGCGACAACUUGAACCAACCGGACAAAAUUUGAUCAAAUCGAAUGAAUUUUGAUAUAAACAUGGUGAAUUUCAUUGAAACUAGAAUAAUUUGUUCAUAAAACCGGACGAUAUUUCGUCCGUGAAUUAAAAACCAAAAAUAAAACCCUAAAUUGUCCUAUACUUCACGAUGACCUCGUAGGCCAUGCCGGGCUGGCCGGCGGCUCCUCCUCCGUCAUCGCGGCCCGACUCGGCAUCAGAGUCGUCGUCGUCGAGCUUGGGCCGGCGGAAGGUGGCGGCACUGCGGCAGGGCCAUGUGAAGUGCCGGUCAGCCACUUCAAUGCGGCGCAAUGGCCGGAGUUGGUUCCUCGGAAACCUGUGUCCGCAUUGAAGCGGCUGCUGCCGAGAGGUCGCGUCGGUCAGCACCGCCGUCCCUCCCUCCGACCACAUCACGAAAUUAAUGCCGGCCUCCGCGUGCUCUGGGCCGGCAUGAAUGUGGCGCGGUAAGCGGUGCGUUUAUCGGAAGGAAAGCGCGGGACGGGCGGGUGACGGGUUUUUGGUGGGACAGGGCGGUCAGAAGCGGGCGUGGGAUUGGUCCGGACUCUCGCACCCCGCCCGAACCCCCACGAUUGUCUCCAGUUUGCGGGCGAAAACGCGUCCGGACAGCGCCACUGACCGUUACAGGCCCGCGUUGGAUGACUUUCGCGGUCUGGACAGCGUGGGCCGGACGGUUGUGGGAGGUUUGAGGGUCGGCGUUGGAGAUGCCCUUAGCUGGGCCUCCUCCCCCCCCACGUUUGUCUCCAGUUUGCAGGAGAAAACGCGUUCGGACAGCAUCGCUGGCCGAAGGCCUGCGUUGGAUGGCUUCCGUGGUCUGGACAGCGCGAUCCGAACGAUUGUGGGAGGUUUGAGGGUCGUCGUUUGAGAUGCCCUUAGCUGGGACAUAGCCUUUUACAACAUGGAUGGCACGGAAAUACAUAGGAGCGGACGAGCUCUCCUGCUCAUGGAAUCGAUGAACAUUUGUCAAAUGCACGAUGAAAUUUUUUCAAAUAUACAUGAGUAUUUUUUUUAAACACGCGUUGAACAUUUUUCAAAGACAUGUAAGAUAUUUUCGUAAAUAUAUGGUGAAUAAUUUAUGAAUGUGCUGACGUUUGCUAAGAUACACAAUGACAUUUUGUAAAUACAUGGUGAAAAUGUUUUGAACAUACUUUUUUUUCAAAAACAUGUCGAACAUACUAUGAACAAUACUGAAAAACACAAUGAUUUUUUAAAUACAAAAGGACCAUUUUUUAAAUUUUCCAAUUAACAUUUUUCACAGAUUUUUUUAAAAAUGUUGAUGUAACUAUAAAAAGUGUUAACGCAUGAUGAAUAUUUUUAUAUUACACAAUGUAUACAUUUGAAUUACACUAUGAAUAAAUUUUAGUGCAUGACAAAUAUGUUUUAAAAUACAUUAUAAAUUUGUAAAAAAUAUGCGAUGAUUUUUUAAUUACCACGGUGAAUAUUAUUAACACACAUAUAAUAAUAUAUUUCAAAUACACGCGAAAUUUUUGUAUACCCACAAAUUUCUUUGAUGUACGUGAAUAUUUUAUAUUUUUAGCACGUGUAUUUUACUCAAAAGAGUAAAAAAUAAAAAAUAAAAUGUAAGGAACACUAGAAAAGAAAAGAAAAAUUAAUAAUAAUACUAGAGUGUUCGCUCGACUAGUUUUUUUUAACAAAGUUCGCUCCUAGUUUAUAUCACGACAACUUUGUUAACCAUGGCAAAUUGAUUUUCACAGCCAUGUCAAUUUACUAUUUCCUGGUCCAUGGCAAGUUUUGCAUCAAUUUGCAAAUUCAACAUCUGAGACAUGGUAAAUUGAAGUUCUGGACCAGGGCUAGUUUUGGGGCAUGACAAAAAUUCUUGUGCAAUUUUAGACGCACAAAAAACUGAAAAAGCAGAGUUUGUAGCACAACAACAUUUUUACCAUGGCCAAUUGCAUUAAUUUGCCGUGAAUGAUUUAUGUUCAGAGCUACGACAAAUUUAUUUUCAGAGCCAUGGGAAUUUACUUGUUUCUUGACCGCAGCAAGUUUACAUUCAUUUUGUAAAUUCAAAAUUUCGAGCAAUGGCAAAUCGCGUUUCUGGACCAUGCUAGUUUUACAUCCAUUGAAAAUAAUUGUAAGCAAAUUGCAUAGAGUUUGUAGCAUGGCAACCCGCAAAAAAAAACAGUUUUUAGCAGGCACAAUCACAUGUCGUGCAGGGAGUGCAGGCGUCCUGUAUUAAUGGCACGUCAUCGUUACUUAGCUGUUGCGGUCACGACAUCCGUCACGGCAUCGGCUUACUCCGUCAAAACGUACAUAGUGGCUCACACACGUAUCUGCACCUUUCCGCUGCCAUACAUCAACUAGUAUUUACACCGCUCGUAGUUAUUGCCACCAAGUGACCUUGUGCCAUUGGUCCAGAAUCCAGGAGCAAGCGAGCUCGUCCGCUCCAUUGCCACUCUCGAUCUUUGGGGCUUAGUUUAUAUGCGGUGAGACUUCUUUCGAGCUCAUCUUAUGGUGUCCCGAAGUAAAUGGCAGCGGGUUGUUCUAUUGUUUUAUCCUCACCGUUAUCGUACUCACGUGAUUGAUGAUGAUUCUUAAACCUAAAGAAGUGAAAUUCUUUUACUUCUAUUCCAAAAUGAAGAGAGACCACCCCUCUCUUGCAAUCAAUUUUAGCCACUGCAGUGUUCAAGAAAGGCCUUUCAAAGAUAAUUGGACAAAAAUCAUCAUCGGGAACUUCCUAUGACAACAAAAUCAAUAGGGUAAGUGAAAGUACCGAGGACAACAUAAACAACAGGCAAAAUACUAUAAGGUUUUCUAAAAGGGACAACAUAAACAUCAGGCAAAAAACCAUAAGGUUUUCGAAAAGCACCAUUUGCAAGUCUAAUGUCCAUGUCGGUGGUUUAGAGUUCAUUAAAAUAGAUUUCAUCACCAAUCUUAACAUAGAAAGUAUACAGUAUCACAUUGAUUGAGAACCAAUAUUGCCCAUAAUAAGAGGUGCUACGAAAAGAGUAAGGUAACAUAGGUUUUCCUGUGUCUGCAACCUUAAUGCAUCCUUUGACAAAAGAUGUUGUCUAUUUUUCCAUUUCCACCACAUUAUUACUUACUGGUUUUUUUAAUUUCUUUCUUCUUUUCCGGGGGUGGCUUCGCCUGAACCGUACAUAUGUCAUUGUUGUCCCUGUAGGAUCCUAAGUAGNNNNNNNNNNNNNNNNNNNNNNNNNNNNNNNNNNNNNNNNNNNNNNNNNNNNNNNNNNNNNNNNNNNNNNNNNNNNNNNNNNNNNNNNNNNNNNNNNNNNNNNNNNNNNNNNNNNNNNNNNNNNNNNNNNNNNNNNNNNNNNNNNNNNNNNNNNNNNNNNNNNNNNNNNNNNNNNNNNNNNNNNNNNNNNNNNNNNNNNNNNNNNNNNNNNNNNNNNNNNNNNNNNNNNNNNNNNNNNNNNNNNNNNNNNNNNNNNNNNNNNNNNNNNNNNNNNNNNNNNNUUAAAACUUAACAUUUUCCUGUUUUAGUUCUUGGCAGAUUUUAGCAAUUCAAGCAAGUCUACAAACACCCUACACAUGCAAGUCUAAUAGUGGGGCAACAGAAGGUAAAGACUUUGCAAGUGAUAGUAAGCAGAGGGAGGGUUUGGAGAUAUGCAAACACUAUGGUGACACGGAAGAUUUUGACCUGUGGUUCCUAUAAGUGGUGCUAUCGUACGUCCACAUUGAUGGAGACUUCAAUCCCUAGGAUAACGAUUGUGACAGUCCACAAAGGGCUCCACACACGAAGGGUCCACGAAGAAGUAACCUUACCUAUUCCACCAUGGCUUAUGUCCACGAAGGAUUAGUCUCACUCGGGGUAGAUCUUCAUGAAGUAGGCGAUCUCCUUGCCCUUACAAACUUCUUGGUUCACUCCACACUAUUUGGAGGCUCCCAAGCACACCUAACCAAUUUAGGGGGCACCACCCUCCAAAAGGUAAUAGAUGUUUUUGAUGAUGGACUCAUUGCUCUUGUACUAUAAAAGAUAGUCUCUUCAAUACUCGAAUACUCUCUAACAGAUUUUGGCUAUGCGUUAGGAGAGGGAUUUAGGUGGAAAGCAAUUAAGGUGGAUAGAGAUCAAAGUUCUAUGGUUGGAGUGGAAUCCCUUUGAUCUCAACACAAGAAUUUGGAGCUCUCUCUCAGAAAAAUGGAUAUGGGAAUUAUAUGCUUCACUCUGGUUGCCCUCUGAGAGUUGGUGGAAUGGGUGGGGUUAUAUAUAGGCAACACCAAAAUCCAAACGAUACACACCUUUAUGCACUACUCGGUGGGACCGGGUGAAACCACUCGGUGAGACCGACUAGUACAAAAGGUUUGAACUUUAGGAUUUUUGGUGAGAUCGGAUGAAACCAAUUGAUGGGACCGAGUCAUGCUGACUUAAGAACUUUCCACACUUUGAUGUCACUUACUGAAACCACUCAAAAAUAUUGAUUGAAUUCCAGUUGGCAACAAAAGGUUGGCCGGUGCUCUUCGGUGGGACCGAAGGGUCAAUUCGGAGUGAUAAGGUUCUAGGGUUUAGGCAACGACUAUGUCAUGUGUAUCUUGGUGUGUCCGGGUAUGAUGUUUUGGUGGGACCGAGAUGAACUUUAGGAUUUUGUACAUAGUGAAAUGUGAGAGUUUGACUAAGGUUUUUGGAGCAAUAUCUUUAAGCACUUGAGCAGUGAAUCCAUAACCACAUCCCUUUUGAAUAGUAUUGGAUUUUCUAUGGACUCAGUGUGAUCUUGUACCACUUAAAUAUCAUUUCUACUUAUAAAAUUUUGAGUUGGUUGUGAGUUCACCCACCCUCCUUCUAUUACUUGUGGUAUGCUACCUCUUGAGCACUGCGUUGGUUUUCCCUUGAAGAGGAAAGGGUGAUGCAGCAAAGUAGCGUAAGUAUUUCCCUCAGUUUUUGAGAACCAAGGUAUCAAUCUAGUAGGAGGCCACGCCCAAGUCCCUCGCACCUACACAAACAAAUAAAAACCUCGCAACCAACGCAAUAAAGGGGUUGUCAAUCCCUUCACGGUCACUUACGAAAGUGAGAUCUGAUAGAUAUGAUAAGAUAAUAUUUUUGGUAUUUUUAUAAUAAAGAUGCAAAGUAAAAUAAAAGGCAAUAAAAAUAGCUAAGUGUUGGAAGAUUAAUAUGAUGGAAAAUAGACCCAGGGGCCAUAGGUUUCACUAGUGGCUUCUCUCAAGAGCAUAAGUAUUAUGGUGGGUGAACAAAUUACUGUUGAGCAAUUGAUAGAAUUGAGCAUAGUUAUGAGAAUAUCUAGGUAUGAUCAUGUAUAUAGGCAUCACGUCCGUGACAAGUAGACCGACUCUUGCCUGCAUCUACUACUAUUACUCCACACAUCGACUGCUAUCCAGCAUGUAUCUAGAGUAUUAAGUUCAUAAGAACAGAGUAACGCUUUAAGUAAGAUGACAUGAUGUAGAGGGAUAAACUCAUGCAAUAUGAUAUAAACCCCAUCUUGUUAUCCUCGAUGGCAACAAUACAAUACGUGCCUUGCUGCCCCUGCUGUCACUGGGAAAGGACACCGCAAGAUUGAACCCAAAGCUAAGCACUUCUCCCAUUGCAAGAAAGAUCAAUCUAGUAGGACAAACCAAACUGAUAAUUCGAAGAGACUUGCAAAGAUAACCAAUCAUACAUAAAAGAAUUCAGAGAAGAUUCAAAUAUUGUUCAUAGAUAAACUUGAUCAUAAACCCACAAUUCAUCGGUCUCAACAAACACACCGCAAAAGAAGAUUACAUCGAAUAGAUCUCCACGAGAAUCGUGGAGAACUUUGUAUUGAGAUCCAAAGAGAGAGAAGAAGCCAUCUAGCUAAUAACUAUGGACCCAAAGGUCUGAGGUAAACUACUCACACAUCAUCGGAGGAGCUAUGGUUUUGAUGUAGAAGCCCUCCGUGAUCAAUGCCCCCUCCGGCAGGACGCCGAAAAAGGCCCCAAGAUGGGAUCUCAUGGGUACAGAAGGUUGCGGCGGUGGAAUUAGGUUUUCGUGGAUGCUUCUGUUGGUUUGGGGGUACGUAGGUAUAUAUAGGAGGAAGAAGUACGUCGGUGGAGCAACGUGGGCCCCAUGAGGGUGGAGGGCGCGCCCAGGGGGGUAGGCGCGCCCCCAUACCUCGUGCCCUCCUGGUUGCUUUCUUGACGUAGGGUCCAAGUCCUCUGGAUCACGUUCGUUCCAAAAAUCACGUUCCCGAAGGUUUCAUUCCGUUUGGACUCCGUUUGAUAUUCUUUUUCUGCGAAACUCUGAAAUAGGCAAAAAAACAGCAAUUUGGGCUGGGCCGUCGGUUAAUAGGUUAGUCCCAAAAAUAAUAUAAAAGUGUAUAAUAAAGCCCUUAAACAUCCAAAACAGAAUAUAAUAUAGCAUGGAACAAUCAAAAAUUAUAGAUACGUUGGAGACGUAUCAAGCAUCCCCAAGCCUAAUUCCUGCUCGUCCUCGAGUAGGUAAAUGAUAAAAACAGAAUUUUUGAUGUGGAAUGCUACUUAGCAUAAUUUCAAUGUAAUUCUUCUUAUUAUGGCACGAAUGUUCAGAUUUGAUAUGAUUCAAGAUAAAAGUUUGAUGUUGACAUAAAAACAAUAAUACUUCAAGCAUGCUAACCAAGCAAUUAUGUCUUAUCAAAAUAACAUAGCCAAAGCAAGUUAUCCCUACAAAAUCAUAUAGUCUGGCUAUGCUCCAUCUUCCCCACACAAAAUAUUCAUAUCAUGUACAACCCCGGUUUUAGCCAAGCAAUUGGUUCAUACUUUUUAACGCGCUUCAGCCUUUUCAACUUUUACGCAAUACAUGAGAGCAAGCCAUGGAUAUAGCACUAUGGUGGAAUAAGGUAUAAUGAUAGGGGUUAUGUGGACUCCGUUUGAUAUUCUUUUUCUGCGAAACUCUGAAAUAGGCAAAAAAACAGCAAUUUGGGCUGGGCCUCCGGUUAAUAGGUUAGUCCCAAAAAUAAUAUAAAAGUGUAUAAUAAAGCCCUUAAACAUCCAAAACAGAAUAUAAUAUAGCAUGGAACAAUCAAAAAAUAUAGAUACGUUGGAGACGUAUCAUGGUACCUACUGUAGUUACACUGAAAUAAAAAAUGCCUUGUUCCUGCCCCGUCCCGUAAUGCGGUUGGUUUUGUUAGCCCAUCUUGUGCGCCGCCGCUAUUCCCCAACCAUCAUUCUCUGGGCCCCUCUCCUCACCAAUUGAUAUCCGCGGGCGUUGGAAAUUUGAAUCCUCAUCUCCCCCAUGGACGUUGCAUCCCAUAGACAUCUCCCUUCUCACCUCCCAAUGCCCACCACCCACCGACUACGCUCGCCUCCCCCGCUUCUAAUCUGCACCCUCAGCCAUAUGCCUGCGCCCAUCGUCUUCACUUCUAUUCCUCGAAAGCUUCCUUCAACACCACUUAGGUAAGGACGAAAAUGAGAAACUCUCCUCUUCUCUUCAGUGAAGGCAUGAAGCAGAGAGGGGAGUCAGAGGCGAGGGAGUGCCUGGUCAUUGGGAGGGUCAUGAGCCACCGCCGGAGAGCGAGGAGGAUGGCGUGAUGGUGGAGGUCGUCGCAGCGAGGAAGAUUCAUUGCAAGGUGGUUGGUUGAAGACGAGGGGAGGAGAAGUGGGGGCAACUAAUGGCGUGUGAGAGUGAUAGGGCAUCACUGGGAAGAGGGGACAUGUGAGUAGCUUGCUAUAAGGAGAGGAUGUCAUGUCAACUGGGAUUGCGGCUGUAAGUUUUUGCUAAGCCCCCNNNNNNNNNNNNNNNNNNNNNNNNNNNNNNNNNNNNNNNNNNNNNNNNNNNNNNNNNNNNNNNNNNNNNNNNNNNNNNNNNNNNNNNNNNNNNNNNNNNNNNNNNNNNNNNNNNNNNNNNNNNNNNNNNNNNNNNNNNNNNNNNNNNNNNNNNNNNNNNNNNNNNNNNNNNNNNNNNNNNNNNNNNNNNNNNNNNNNNNNNNNNNNNNNNNNNNNNNNNNNNNNNNNNNNNNNNNNNNNNNNNNNNNNNNNNNNNNNNNNNNNNNNNNNNNNNNNNNNNNNNNNNNNNNNNNNNNGAUUCGGGAGAGAGCGAUUGGGGAUUGGAGCAAUGAUUCUAUAUACAACAGUGGAAGCUACUGCAGUUUUUCGCAGCGAAAUAGAAAGGGGGUGAUGCACAUACUGUUUUUUUAGAAGUUCAAUAGAAAUACAAAUCUAUUAAGGGAAGUUUACAAAAGAGAGGAUUGUGUUGUGUCAUUGUGCUUCCAUAUAUUGAUCGACUUCAUUGAAAUUUUUGGCAGCGUUGUCCUGCAAAAAAAAUCUAUGCAUGUUAUUGUAUAACAUUCAGAAAUCAGAUAUUACAAAAUUGUUAUAAUGUUCUUAGUUAACAACAUAGUAUGAUCACAUGACUACCAAUUUUGCCAAUAGCUUUUCGAAUUUUAUUUUACAUUUUAAGUCUACUUUUUAGUGCAUUUUUAUGUCUCCAUUGAUGUAUUGCAAAUUAUUUGUUCAUGAGCACCUUCAGUGAUGUAGGUGCCUAGCGCAGGAUGAAGCUAUAGCCUACAAGAAUGAGAAUGCUUUUUCUCAUGAGUAUACAUAAGCCUCAUGUGCGUCAUGAUAAUAGUUCUUUGCAUUGGCUAUAGUUUUCUAAUAUGCUUUCGUCUAUGGAUUUGCAUUAUAAAAUAUUUCAUAUACGGGUGCAGAUUCACUUAACACUAUUUCCUCACAUGAAUGGUCUCUAUAGAACAAUGUGCAUGUUUCUCUCCAUUGUGGUUGGUUGUUUAAUAUGUUUCACUAUGCAUUUAUAUUAUAUACAUAAGAGAAUGAUGCCAGUUAUCUUGUAGUUCGAGCAAUUGAUGGAGCAAUGCAUCACUUGGAUGAAGUUAUUUUGCCAGUAAAGAGAAGUUGUUUCAUGACGUGGAAGUAAAAUUAGUAUUGUGUCCAACAAGUUGAGCAUUUGAUUACGAAUGGCUCUCAGAAAAACAUGCCAUCUGCAAUGGGUUAUUUCCUGAAACAUUUUUUACAGGCCAUCCAUGUAUCUUCUUUCAAUCCAACAUGAUAUUAUAUGGUGAACUUGAUGCAUCUAAAAGAUAAACCUUGAUAUAUCUGUAACUUUUGGGACUACACACGCAGAUAGUCAUAGUAUUGAGAUUGUGUUAUGCUAACAUUUUUCUAGAAAUAAUGCAGGAUUAAUAGUCUAGUGAUCUAAGAGGACUUAUAUUUGUUUAUAGAGGGAGUAAUUAUUUAAGAUGCUUGAGAGCUUGAGGUAUGUGUUUUGUACUAGAAUUAAGAUACAUUAUGAAAUGAAAGUGUGGAUGAUAUCCCUUUCUCUUUGAGAUACCACUAAGAUUUAAUUUUGCACCAUGUAUUAUUGAGUGUUACUCACUUCAUUUUAGGUGCUUUUGAAUGUAUGUUACUAUAACAAAAGCAGAUCCCCGUUACAUACCUGGCUUAAGUUAAGGAAGUUUGCAUGUAUGUAUUUAAACUAAUUAGGUCACAUAUUUAUUUCAUCACUUAACUCCAAAGCCCAUUAUAUGAUUUCUGUCUGACAAGGAGAUGCAACAACUUUAGAGCAUGUCAUGUUGUUUGUGCGUGUAGAACUGCAAAUACUUUGUUCACAUGUGUUAGAUAAUGCUGGAUGUUUGGUUCCACGUAAAUCCGGUUGUGUUGGUGAUGUUAUUAAUACAAAGACUCUUGACUAAGUACUAUUGUUGGUUCCAUAUAUUAAAACUUAUUUCAUGUGGCUCCAUAGUGUAGCACAUGGACCUUACUAGUAAAUGGAGAAUCUUGAGGCUUGGCCAACACCUGUCCUUAGCAUUUUGAGGGGUCCACUUUUCACAUCCCAAUUGUUAUACCUAAAUUGAACUUUCUUGAAAUGUUCCUUGAGUAGGCAUUAGUUCAAUGAUAUAUAUGUUGUGAUGAAUUGCCAAAACCACUCAGUGAAUAGAUGCACUUUCAAUCUCCUUUUUGGUAAUUGAUGACAACAUAUAGAUCAAGGCUUCAACAUAAGAUAUAAUCAUGAAUAACAUCGUCGCUUUGAGAAUCAUGUGAUAAGCAAGAGCUCCCCCUAAAUUGGUGCAUUAUUUGAAUUGGUGUUGGAAUGCAAAUGAACAAUCGAUUAGGUUUGUGAGGUAACUCUUCCAUGUCACAUACAUCUUGGUGGAGUGCACAAAAGAAUGUGAAUAGGGUUUAAAAUUGCACACAUAACCAAGCACACAUGUGAAUGACCAUGAUAAAAUGCAUAAGCAAAUGAUAAGUAUCAUGAUAAGGUAAACAAGCUUAGGACGGUAAAAAACACGAGAUAAAGUUUACAUCCAACAAGAAUCUAACGAAGUAUCAAGGAUAAAAACCAGCAAAAUCAAAUACUCCCUCUCUCUCGCAUCCUAUAGAUCUAUAUGUUGGAAAUAUGCCCUAGAGGAAAUAAUAUUUGUAUUACUUGUUUACAUGUUUAUAGUUAAGAGUUUAUAUUCCAUGCUAUAACUGAUAUGGUUCUUGAAUAUGCAAUUCAGAGGAAAAUCCAUAUGCACUUGUAGAAUGAUAGUUCACCUAAGCUCUCGGUUGCACUUGUUUUUCACUCCUUGGUGAAUCAUAUGGAAAAUAUGUUGUUUGCAAGUUGCUUUGCUUCCGGUCUCUAGUUGGGCUUUGCGCCAAUGGUGUAACAAGUCAUAAUAUACUACUGGGGUGAACAACAUAUAUCCUAAGACAAGAAAUAAAGAGAUACAUAAAUCAAGUACGGCGACAUCGUUUUCUUCUCAAGGAUAAUUUUGGUCUCAGACAACAUAGUUCUGCUCCUUCUGGUAGUGUACUCUUCUUCCUUGUAGUACUCAUCUUCUUCCUUUAGGUCUCCACCAAAUUUGUCGAAGUCUUCUGAUGGGUCAACGACAACACCAUUCGACUUUGUCGGGUCGAUUACAUAGAAUCAUUGAGCGAACUCUCCUUCAUGUCAUCCUGAUGAUCUUCUUCAUGUUCGACUGCCUCUUGGUCGCUCCCUCCUUUUGGUUCUUUAUCGAAAUAGUUACUCGCUUCUUCAUCUACCACCCCUUCGACGUCGGAAACAUCACCCUCGUCCUCACCGUGCCUAGUCCAUGGUGUAUAACCAGACAAGAAAUCAUGUUUGAGCAAGGGCAUCUUCACAUACGGAGUAAAAGCAUCGAUCAAAACUUCAUGUUUGGCACUUCUUACACAGACAUACUAUCUCUGUUUUACCCUUCUAAAUCAUAUCUUCCACCGUCACCUUGAUAAAUCAUUUAUAGUUUGAUCCAUGGAAUCGUUCAAUCGAUCGAGCUUCCUACAAGGGUAUGAGAAAAAUAAUUAUAUAUAAACAACAAGGAUCAUAGAAAAUUUCAGCACGAUCUUUGUUAAAAAAUGGACAUAUUGAGUGCCAGAAAUUUGACGAAACAGAAAUUCUGGCAUAGCCGACACCGCAACACACAUAUGUGUAUACCAAUCACAUGCAUCCAUCACAUAAUUAACAAGAAGCUAGUUCUCUCAUAGAGAGACGAAGAUGAUUGAGCUAGUCAUGGAUAGAUCAGGAAAGAGAGGCCGGUCGUACAUAUGUAGGUCAUGUACAUGUGGGGAUCAGAGUGUGAUCUAGAGAGAGGAUUUGGAGGGAGGUAGUUAUAGCUAUAGAUGUGAGAGAAGCAUGUUUAUAUAAUUGUGAGCUGGAUUGUUCGAGCGAUGCUAUCAGUGGCAUGACUUACUGGUGGUAAUCCACUUAUAGGCAUGGCACUACCAUGUGAGGCCCAAAAAGCGGACAUCACAAAAGAUACUGGUAGUGUGGUGAAAAGUAACACUCCACCGGCCGGCUCAAUGUCAGUCGCGUGGUAAAAAAAUCACACGCCACCGUUAACUUGCGGCUGGCCAAACUGCUAGGCCCCACAUACUGGUGACGUAGCAUUUAGGAGACACGCCACCAGUAAGACAAUAUUGAUGGCGUGUGAAAUUGGCCCACAUUUAAUAAUACUUGUGACGUGGUGGCGUGCCACUACUAAAGAUUGUGUGUAAACAUUUCUGCACUAGUGAGUGUUCAGACGCCUCCACGUGGUGUGACUUGUCUGGGAGAUCAUCGAAAGACAUUGUAGUCAUAUAAAUUGAAAUACGUGAAGCAAAUAAGUCACGUACCUCUGAAGAGGAGAGUAGAAGGCCCUGGAGUAUUGCACAUAUCCGGGCUUAUUACACUUAAAGGCAUUGGCUUUAGUUUCUGUACAUACUUAGCUACUAACAUCCCUCUUGACCCGGCGUAUGCCACUAUAAUACUGUAGGGAAACGUUGCAUGGAAAAAAAAUUCUACGCACACGCAAUGAUCUAUUCAUGGAGAUGAAGGAAAUAUGCCCUAGAGGCAAUAAUAAAGUUGUUAUUUAUAUUUCCUUAUAUCAUGAUAAAUGUUUAUUAUUCAUGCUAGAAUUGUAUUAGCCGGAAACUUAAUACAUGUGUGAAUACAUAGACAAACAGAGUGGCACUAGUAUGCCUCUACUUUGACUAGCUCGUUAAUCAAAGAUGGUUAAGUUUCCUAGCCAUAGACAUGUGUUGUCAUUUGAUCAACGGGAUCACAUCAUUAGAGAAUGAUGUGAUUGACUUGACCCAUCCGUUAGCUUAGGACUAUGAUCAUUUAGUUUAUUGCUAUUGCUUUCUUCAUGACUUAUACAUGUUCCUAUGAUUAUGUGUUGGUGUGGAACGACACCUAUGGGAUCACAAGAAUCCCUACUACGGUUGCCGGGGCGCGGGGUUGCGAGAGGAGCAGGGUUAGUAGCCAGCACAAGGAUCGUUUACCCAGGUUCGGGCCGCGAGGAUGCGUAAAACCCUAGUCCUGCUUUGGUGGGUGUAUUUCAGAGAGUUCUUGAGCUCUCGUACUAGCUGUGGUCAGUGCGUGGUUCGAAAGAGCCGAAUCCUUCUCCAGUAUGCCAUGGGCCUCCUUUUAUAGUUGAAAUGGGCUGCCACAGUGGCACACAGGAGGUGGAAAGGCAUACAGUGCCCUGAGCUUAUCGCUCGUAUUAUAGGACAAGACGCAUUUAAUGCGUAGCUUAGGUGUCCCUCUGCUUUAUUUGGGACUGGGCGAGGCCCGUCCCGUCCGUCGCCACUCCUCCUUGCUUUGACACGCGCCCUGGCCAGUGAGGCGUGCGGCGCCAUGUAGGCAGGCAGGCAGCUGAGGUGGCGCGGUGGCGGAGCCUUCACAAAGAUCUGCAUGCCGCCACACAGGCGCUCGAUGAAUUGGCCUGGGAGCUGCAUGUUGCCACGCAGGUGCCCGCCCAGCUGGUUGGGCUGGCAGCUGCAUGUGAACGGCGGUGGAAGCUUGGUUGGCGUGGGCCUGGCGAUGGCCCUGCUGGCGUCCUUGGAGAGGGCCUUGCCGGGUGGCUCGGCAAGGGUCUUGCCGGGUGGCCCGACAAGGGUCUUGCCGUGGCGCGCUGUCGUCCCCGGCAAGGACCUUGCCGGGGGUCUGGUGGCUUUCCUCGGUAAGGUUCUUGCCAAGGGUUGUCGUCUUGUAAUCCUCAUCUGAUCUUGAAUAUGUCUUCGCAAAGAUCUGCUUGCCACCACAGAGGUGCCUUCCUGAGCCCCGGCCCCACGUGGAUGAUGGCGUUGGGGACCGUGGGCUCAAGGGUGGCUCGCUCUAUUGGUGUGGGGCGAGCUGUCCCGGCAAGGAUCUUGCCGGGGCUGCUGAGGCUGCCCCGGCAAGGGUCUUGCCGAGGGAACCUACUUCGUCCCUCUGCUCUUUGUGGUCUUGGCCUUGGCUUUGCUCUGAAUAUCUUGAGCUUCGGUCUUACCUUGGCUCACCUCCCCUGCUCUGCUUGGCGUGACCGUAGGCGCGACUCCGACUGCCCGUGCACUGGUAUAGGGGUACAAAAACGCACCCCUCUUUUUGUACACUGACAGGAGCCCCCGGGCCUGGGACACACAUAAGCGCGACACGUUGUUGGGCCAGGCCCAAAACGGUGCGCGGGCAGGCGGGGCGGUUUUUACCGCAGUAAAACUUUUCGCGCGCGGCGCUUACCACGACCCGCGCGCGCGGCGCGGCGUGGAGGGGUGUGCGUGACGUGGGCGGCAUGCGUGGGGCGGUUCCUGCACGCAUGCGUCACAUCGCAGUAAAUGGGCUGCGCGACCCGCGGCUUCCCCAUAAAAAGGGAUAACCGCGGGCGCACUGUUCCUUUUACCCUUCGCGCAACCCCAAUCUCGGAAACCUCCGCCUGCCUUCCUCUUCUUCUCCAAGCUUCGUUCCUGCUCGCCGCCGUUGCGCUUCCGCCGCCCUUUGUCCUGCCCUCCUCCCCCAGUCACCAUGGCACCAAAAUCCACCAAGGGCAAGGGAGUGGCCAAGGACGCCGGAGCCGCGGAGCCGCCGGAGAGUGCACUGGCGGUGCAGCGGACGCAGUCCGCCUUCUUCCCCUCGACAGUUGACGUGUUCGAGCUUCGGGACUCCUUCAGGCCCCUGUGGGGAGNNNNNNNNNNNNNNNNNNNNNNNNNNNNNNNNNNNNNNNNNNNNNNNNNNNNNNNNNNNNNNNNNNNNNNNNNNNNNNNNNNNNNNNNNNNNNNNNNNNNNNNNNNNNNNNNNNNNNNNNNNNNNNNNNNNNNNNNNNNNNNNNNNNNNNNNNNNNNNNNNNNNNNNNNNNNNNNNNNNNNNNNNNNNNNNNNNNNNNNNNNNNNNNNNNNNNNNNNNNNNNNNNNNNNNNNNNNNNNNNNNNNNNNNNNNNNNNNAGGCUGCCCCAAAUCGGUACCCCUUCUUUGUCGAUUAUUUUCCCUGCGGGCUCUGUCCUCCCUUCUCUGAUUUCUUCAGUGACGUCAUGCAUACCUUUGCCUUCCGCCUCCUGGAUUUUACUCCGAAUGCGGUGGCGUGCAUGGCCCUUUUCGCGCAUCUCCGCGAGGGCUUCGCUGGGGGUGCACCCCAACACGGCACUCUUCCGCCAUUACUUCUCCCCUCAGAUCCAACCAGGGGGCGCCAUCUCCGGUUGCAUCGCCUGGGUCUCAAGAUCCAAGGGAGCGUAUCAGGAGGGCACAAUGAAGGAGAGGUGGGAAGAAUGGCGGGGCCGGUGGUGCUGGAUCAAGGAGAAGGACCCGCCGGCGUUCUGCGAAGUUCGUCGGGCGCCGCUGGUCCGCAGAAGCGACUGGAGCAACGUCGAUGCUGACGAUGAGAAGCUCAUGGUCGCCACCACCAGGAUCCUCCGGCUCACCGAGGCCGGCCUCACCCUUGAGAUGAUCGGGGCGGACUUCAUCCGCCGCCGGAUCGCUCCACUGCAUAACAAGGGGAGGCCAGCCUGGCUCUUCACGAACCCCGCCGACAUCAUGCGGCUUCGUCCCGGCCUCGACCACAAUUUCACAGUGAUGGGGCACGCCCAUUUCUGCCAGCGGCUCUUCCAGCUUGACAUGGGCCGCGACGGCGAGGUCAAGUGGACCGGCAAGGUCGCGAGGGCCGCCGCGAAGGCUGGCAAGGUCCUCAAGGGGCCUCUGUUCAAGCUGCCGACGGGGGUGGUCCCGUUGUGCAAUAACUCGCGCCGGUCCGACAUCAUUGCCAUGAUGCUGGACUGCAACGCGCAUGCCUUGACCCGAGCUGGAAGGAGCCGGAGGACGCCGAGGUGCAACAGUUCUUUGACACUUUGCACGAGGGGUACGUCAACGCCGACGCCGAGCGGCUGCUUGUCCAGGACACCACCCAGGCAGAGCUGGACUACAUCGCCACCAGGGCAAGGGAGGCACAACUUGCCAAGGAGGCCGGCAGCACCGGCGGUGUGGAGGACAAGGCCUCGAUGGCCGCGGAGGAGGAGGAGCUCGCCCGAUGGGCGGCGGCCGCCGGGGGAGCCAGCAGCGCCGGCACCGAGGCUCCUCUGGUUGAAGAUGUGACCGGCGAGUCGUCGUCGUCGGAGGAGGCCGAGACUGCAGGCCCGACGCUGGCUAUGGGGAGAGGGCGAGUCCUGCGGCGGGCCAGUUCCGGCGAGCCGGUCCGGCCCAGUAGGGCUGCGCGACCACAGCUGACCUUGGAGAGGUCCGGGCGCCACACGAGGGCCGCAGCGGCAAAGAAGCCGGCGAAGGCCGCGAUGAAGAAGAAAACAGCCGCCCCUUCUUCGUCCACGCGUGUCCAGACACCACCUCCUUCUCCUCCUCCGGCGAAUGUUGAUACGGAGGUUACUUUCGAUUAUGGAUCCCUCAGCCCGAGGAGGAAGAGGAAAACAGCAGAGGAGGAGGCGGACGACGAGUAAGUAUCUGGUUCCUUUUCGUUAUCUCUGCCUCCUCAAUCUGUGUUGCUCGUCUUGACUUGUCAUCAUCUUUGCAUGGACGUGGAGACGCUGGCCCAGAGAGUGAAGAGGGCCAAGGUCUCGGCGGGUGGCCAGCCCCCAGUUGGUACUUCGAGGGCGCCACUGGUGGUGUUGAGCAGCCCGGACAGCAGCCCCCGGCAUAGCCCCCGGCGUAAGUUCAUCACUCUUCCCCCGUCGACAUGUGUCAGGGGCACGACACUUUGGUGCUGACCUUGCCAGGUAUGCAGGAGGAGAGCAGCAGCAGGAGGAGCCACAGAGGGCUACUCCCAACACGCUGCCCCCAUCGACCACGCCGCCCCGAGGGGCGUCCCCGGCAAGGGCGCCAGGCACCGAGCCCACGCACAUGGAGGAGGAGGAGGAGAACUUGGGCGCCGGCGGCUUUGCCUCGACGCCAAAUGUUGGCGGGGAGGGGACUUCCGUUUCCCAGCCGGGUACUGGCACAGGUAAGUCGUUUGCCGUUCGUCCCUGCUUCUUUUUCUUUCCGGCUCUUGGUCCUGGCCUUGCCUCACCCCCUUCUUUGGCAUCCAGAUUCCUCCUCGGUGAACCCAGAGGACAUGGACACCGUCAUCGAGGACGUCGCCAUGGCUGCCGAGGCGGACGCCGAGAAGAUCGCCGCCGAGGAGGCCGCCAAGGGUGCUGCCGAGGACGCCGCCAAGGGGCCUGUCGGGGAGGCCGGCAAGGCUGCCGCUGAGGAGACCGGCAAGGGGCCUGCCGAAGAGGCCGGCGGGGCCGCUGCCGAGGAGGAGGAGGAGGUGGCUGAUGACCAGCCUUCCUCUUCUGCUGCUUCCGGCUCCGGCAAGUACUUGAGGGUGAGCGACGACUUGUUCGUCCACCUUCCAGGCGCGUCGAGCACCAGGACACCCGUUGAGGGAGAGGUGUUUGACGACGAAGUGCUUGCCGCUGCCGGGCUUGAAGUCGUUGACGAGCCGAUCGUUGGUGGCGACGGUUCGCAGGAAGAGCGGCUCCUCCACACCAUGGGCGCCAGCUUCUGGAAGCUCCAGCCGCUCCACCGCGCCCGCCUGGACAAGGCUAAGUCCAGGACGGCGGUGGUGGAGAAGGCGGAGGCGGACCUCCAAAAGCGCGUUCCCGAGACGUAGGUCUAGUUCCGCAAGGCCCACAAGGAGCUCAAGGCUGCCCAGGGCGAGCUGGCCAAGUGCGACGUGGAGCUCACCAUGAAGCUCGCCGACGUCAAGAAAGCUCAAGAGACGACGAGGAACUUGGCCGCGGCCGCCGAAGCCGCCCGGACCCAGCACGAGGCCGCGCUGAACUCCCAGGAGGAGGACCUCGAUGCAUGUGAGGAGAAGCUUGCCGCCAUGCUUCGCGGCAAGGAUGCAGAGGUGGAGAAGCUUGUCUUGCAGCGGACCAGUGAGCUGGAGCAGAGGCACGAAGAGGCACUCAAUGCCCAGGCCUAGGUUCACGCCGGCAAGGUGGAGGAGCUGGAGGCGGAGCGCGACGGGCUGAAGGAGCAGGCCCUGAAGCUGUCCCAGGAGAAGGACACGCUUAACAGUGCCCUGACAGAGGCACAGGGUGCGGUCGUCAGCAAGGCUGGGGAGCUCUCCGAGGCCAACAACUCCAUCAAAGACCUCAAGCUGAAGCUGGAGGGUCUCGAGAAGGUGCUGUCGGAGGCCAAAACCCGAGAGGGGACCCUGGCCAAGGAGCUGGAGGCCGAGAAGCUGUUGCGGAAGAACGAGGGCCUCAACUUCGCAGAUCACGUGGAGGGCGAGAACCGCUGGUUCGAUCGCCUCGCCACCGUCGCCAACCAGGCCGCCGCGCAGCUGGCCAUCAUGGGGAUGCCGGACGUGAGGUAUGUCCCGAAGCGGAGCGUGAGCGCCAAUUGCAGCCUGACCAUGUUCUUUGAGAAGGUUGUCGGCGCUCUGGAGCGGCUCCACGCCAAUCGGGCGGCCUCACUGGCCGAUGAGUCCCGGAGGCUUUGCGAGGGUGCCAUGACCAAGGUUCUCACCAAGAUGGCGCACUGGUACCCCGACCUCGACUUCGACGCCGCGCUGGAGAGCUUGUCGGAGGGUACUGACCUCGCGCCGCUCAGGGAGCGCAUCAAGCCCAUCAUCAGCCGAGUCGGCGAAAUUCAGAGGGUGGAGGGCCAGCGCCGGGAUUAGGCACCCCGUUCUUUAUCGCCGCUGCAGUUUCACAACCAAGACAAUCGCUAUCUCUAGUUAGAACCGCAUCAACAAUUCGACGUAAUAUAACUCUGCAUCACUUUUAGUAUCAUGCAUGUUAUUUUCCUGUUCGAUUUUCCUUUGUAUGUCCACCCUACGUUACUAGGUAGGCUCGCCGGCGCGUAAACCCAAGGCGGCGUCUUGGAGACGGAUCCCCAUUGGCCUGCCGGGUGUGCUUGCUGCCGGGCGAACCACCUUGCCGCCCUUAGCGCGGCCGCCCGAACUGUCGAGCUUGACUCGAGUCAGAGUCGGGAGCAUUGCCAAGUGCGGAAGGCUACCCCGCCACUCUCGACGCGGCCGCUUUGAGCUAUUGAGCGGACUCGAAACAUAGCAAGGGCGUUGCCAAUUGUGGGAGGGCCCCUUUGCGUGCAGGUAUCUCAUACAUAGGCGAGAUCUCCGAGGACGAUAACCUUAUGUAUAGGAGGAAAUAACUCAAAGCUCUGAAUGACUUAGCUUUUCUGUUGCCGCGCCGGCGUCGUUCCUCCGGCCGCCUUCUUCUCAGGAGCCAUGGCGACGAAGAACUGCUAGGCUAACUACUAGACCAGAUUCUCACAACCGCGCCCCCUACCUGGCGCGCCAAAGAUGUCGGUGUGGAACGACACCUAUGGGAUCACAAGAAUCCCUACUACGGUUGCCGGGGCGCGGGGUUGCGAGAGGAGCAGGGUUAGUAGCCAGCACAAGGAUCGUUUACCCAGGUUCGGGCCGCGAGGAUGCGUAAAACUCUAGUCCUGCUUUGGUGGGUGUAUUUCAUAGAGUUCUUGAGCUCUCGAACUAGCUGUGGUCAGUGCGUGGUUCGAAAGAGCCGAAUCCUUCUCCAGUAUGCCAUGGGCCUCCUUUUAUAGUCGAAAGGUGCUGCCACAGUGGCACAUAGGAGGUGGAAAGGCGUACAGUGCCCUGAGCUUAUCGCUCGUAUUACAGGACAAGACGCAUUUAAUGCGUAGCUUAGGUGUCCCUCUGCUUUAUCAGGGACGGGGGCGAGGCCCGUCCCGUCCGUCGCUGCUCCUCCUCGCUUUGACACACGCCCUGGCCAGUGAGGCGUGCAACGCCAUGUAGGCAGGCAGGCAGCUGAGGUGGCGCGGUGGCGGAGCCUUCACGAAGAUCUGCAUGCCACCACGCAGGCGCUCGAUGAAUUGGCCUAGGAGCUGCAUGUUGCCACGCAGGUGCCCGCCCAGCUGGUUGGGCUGGCAGCUGGAUGUGAACGGCGGUGGAAGCUUGGUUGGCGUGGGCCUGGCGGUGGCCCUGCUGGCGUCCUUGGAGAGGGCCUUGCAGGGUGGCCCGGCAAGGGUCUUGCCGUGGCGCGCUGUCGUCCCCGUCAAGGACCUUGCCACGGGUCUGGUGGCUUUCCUCGGUAAGGAUUUUGCCGAGGGUUGUCGUCUUCUAAUCCUCAUAUGAUCUUGAAUAUGUCUUCGCAAAGAUCUGCUUGCCACCACAGAGGUGCCUUGCCGAGCCCUGGCCCCACGUGGAUGAUGGCGUUGGGGACCGUGGGCUCAAGGGUGGCUCGCUCUGUUGGUGUGGGGCGAGCUGUCCCGGCAAGGAUCUUGCCGGGGCUGCUGAGGCUUCCCUGGCAAGGGUCUUGCCGGGGGAACCUGCUUCGUCCCUCUGCUCUUUGUGGUCUUGGCCUUGGCUUUGCUCUGAUUAUCUUGAGCUUCGGUCUUACCUUGGCUCACCUCCCCUGCUCUGCUUGGCGUGACCGUAGGCGCGGCUCCGACUGCCCGUGCACAGGUAUAGGGGUACAAAAAUGCACCCCUCUUUUUGUACACCGACACUAUGAGAUUAUGCAACUCCCGAAUACCGGAGGAACACUUAGUGUUCUAUCAAACGUCACAACGUAACUAGGUGAUUAUAAAGAUGCUCUACAGGUGUCUCCGAUGGUGUUUGUUGGGUUGGCAUAGAUCGAGAUUAGGAUUUGUCACUCCGUGUUUCGGAGAGGUAUCUCUGGGCCCUCUCGGUAAUGCACAUCACUAUAAGCCUUGCAAGAAUUGUGACUAAUUAGUUAGUUGUGGGAUGAUGCAUUACAGAACGAGUAAAGAGACUUGCCGGUAAUGAGAUUGAACUAGGUAUUGAGAUACCACGAUCGAAUCUCGGGCAAGUAACAUACCGAUGACAAAGGGAACAACGUAUGUUGUUAUGUGGUUUGACCGAUAAAGAUCUUCGUAGAAUAUGUAGGAACCAAUAUGAGCAUCCAGGUUCCGCUAUUGGUUAUUGACCGGAAGUGAGUCUCGGUCAUGUCUACAUAGUUCUCGAACCCGUAGGGUCCGCACGCUUAACGUUCGAUGACGAUCGGUAUUAUGAGUUUAUGUGUUUUGAUGUACCGAAGGUUGUUCGGAGUCCCGGAUGUGAUCACGAACAUGACGAGGAGUCUCGAAAUAGUCGAGACAUAAAGAUCGAUAUAUUGGAAGGCUAUGUUUGGACACCGGAAAGGUUUCGGAUGAGUUUGGGCAUUUUCCGGAGUACCGGGAGGUUACCGGAACCCCCCGGGGAGUUAAUGGGCCUUAAUGGGCCAUGGUGGAAGAGAGGAGGAGGCGGCCAAGGUGGGGGCGCCCCCCCAGGCCCAAUCCGAAUUGGGAGGGGGGCCGGCCCCCCUUUUCUUCUCUCCCUCUCCCUCUUCCUUCUUCUCCUACUCCAACUAGGGAAGGGGGGAAACCUACUCCUACUGGGAGUAGGACUCCCCCCCUUGGGCGCGCCAUAGAGAGGGCUGGCCCUCCCCUCCUCCACUCCUUUAUAUACGGGGGAGGGGGCACCCCAUAGACACACAAGUUGAUUGUUUAGUCGUGUGCGGUGCCCCCCUCCACAGAUUUCCACCUCGGUCAUAUCGUUGUAGUGCUUAGGCGAAGCCCUGCGUCGGUAACUUCCUCAACACCAUCAUCACGCCGUCGUGGAGAUCAAAGGCACAAGAUGAUGAUGGCCAUAUCAUAUCACUUAUAUUGAUUGCAUGUGAUGUUUAUCCUUUAUGCAUCUUAUUUUGCUUAGUUCGACGGUAGCAUUAUAAGAUGAUCUCUCACUAAAUUUCAAGGUAUAAGUGUUCUCCCUGAGUAUGCACCAUUGCUACAGUUCGUCGUGCCGAGACACCACGUGAUGAUAGGGUGUGAUAAGCUCUACGUUCACAUACAACGAGUGCAAGCUAGUUUUGCACACGCAGAAUACUCGGGUUAAACUUGACGAGCCUAGCAUAUGCAGAUAUGGCCUCGGAACACUGAGACCGAAAGGUCGAGCAUUAAUCAUAUAGUAGAUAUGAUCAACAUAGUGAUGUUCACCAUUGAAAACUACUCCAUCUCACGUGAUGAUCGGACAUGGUUUACUUGAUAUGGAUCACGUGAUCACUUAGAUGAUUAGAGUGAUGUCUAUCUAAGUGGGAGUUCUUAAGUAAUAUGAUUAAUUGAACUCUAAUUUAUCAUGAACUUAGUACCUGAUAGUAUUUUGCAUGUCUAUGUUAUUGUAGAUAAAUGGCAUGUACUUCUGUUCCGUUGAAUUUUAAUGCGUCCUAGAGAAAGCUAAGUUGAAAGAUAAUGGUAGAAACUACACGGACUGGGUCCGUAACUUGAGGAUUAUCCUCAUUACUGCACAAAAGAAUUACGUCCUGGAAGCACCGCUAGGUGCUAGGUAUCACGCCCAAGAUGUGACCCUAUCCUAAAGGAACACGAAGGUCCCACCAAAGGAUAGAAGCGCAUCUUGAAGACGCUUUCGCAAGGUGGAUAUCAUUACAUCAACAUUGCAUAAUAUUUGGGGAUACAUACAAGGCAUACAAAUGCCGCAAGAAUACAUCAAUACAUCAUACAUAAGAUCAACAUCCGACUAUGGAUGAAACAUAAACAGAAACUCAAACGACAUCCACCCUGCUAGCCCAGGCUGCCGACCUGGAACCUAUCCCCUGAACGAAGAAGAAGCAGAAGAAGAACUCCAAACAAGUAAUCAUCGCUCUCGCGUCAUGAUCAUCGCACACCUGUACCUGCAACUGGUGUUGUAGUAAACUGUGAGCCACGAGGACUCAGCAAUCCCAUUACCAUGGGUAUCAAGACUAGCAAAGCUUAAAGGGAAAGGAAUGGAUAAGGUGGUGAGGUUGCAGCAGCGACUAAGCAAGUAUGGUGGCUAACUUACGCAACUGAGAGCGAGAAGAGAAGCAAAGGAACGGUCGUCAACUAGUAAUGAUCAAGAAGUGAUCCUGAACUCCUACUUACGUCAAACAUAACUCAGACCAUGUUCACCUCCCGGACUCCGCCGAGAAGAGACCAUCACGGCUACACACAUGGUUGAUGCGUUUUAAUUAAGUCAAGUGUCAAGUUCUCUACAACCGGAUAUUAACAAAUUCCCAUCUGCCACAUAACCGCGGGCACGGCUUUUGAAAGAUAAUACCCUGCAGGGGUGUCCCAACUUAGCCCAUUAUAAGCUCUCACGGUCAAUGAAGGAUAUUCCUUCUCCCGGGAAGACCCGAUCAGUCUCGGAAUCCCAGUUACAAGACAUUUCGACAAUGGUAAAACAAAACCAGCAAAGCUGCCCGAUGCGCCGACAUCCCGAUAGGAGCUGCACAUAUCUCGUUCUCAGGGCAACACCGGAUAAGUCAAGCUACGAGUAAAACCAGACCUCGAGUUUCCCCGAGGUGGCCCCGCAGGCUGCUCGGUUCGGACCAACACUUAGAGAAGCACUGGCCCGGGGGGUAAAAUAAGAUGACCCUCGAGAGAGCGACUCCCUAGGGAAAAGAAAUAGGCUAGGCAAAUGGUAAAACCAAGGUUGGGCCUUGCUGGAAGAGUUUUAUUCAAGGCGAACUGUCAAGGGGGUCCCAUAAAUCACUCAACCGUGUAAGGAACGCAAAAUCCGGGAACAUAACAUCGGUAUGACGGAAAAACUAGGGCGGCAAGAGUGGAACAAAACACCAGGCAUAAGGCCGAGCCUUCCACCCUUUACCAAGUAUAUAGAUGCAUUAAUAAUAUAUAAGAGAUAUUGUGAUAUCCCAACAUAAACAUAAUCCAACAUGGAGCAAUCUUCAUCUUCACCUGCAGCUAGCAACGCUAUAAGAGGGGCUGAGCAAAGCGGUAACAUAGCCAAACAAUGGUUUGCUAGGAAGGGUGACAAAGGUUAGAGGUUCAUGGCAAAAUGGGAGGCUUGAGGAGCAAGUGAAUAGGUAGCGCAGCAAAGCGAUAGAACGAAGCAACUAGCAUAGCAAUGAUAGUAAUGAGAUCCAAGGUGACGGUCAUCUUGCCUGAAAUCCCACUAGGAAGAAGAACAAAUCCAUGAAGAAGAUGAAGCCACGAAGACGAACGAAUCCUCACGAUCGCAACGACACGGGAACUAUCGAGAAGAAGCACACAACAAGGUAAACACACCACACAAGAACAAGGCAUGAUGCUCAACCAAGGAUGAUGCAUGACAAGGCUAUAUGAAGCUACCCAUGGCAAGAGAGGAUGCAUACAAGAGCAACACAUCAAGGCAAGUUUAAAUGAGGCCGGAAACAACAUAUAACAAUUCCGGUAAGUCUUCAUAUGCAAAUUUCGAAAUUGGUCCAGAACUGAAUAAGCAUUAAGUUGGAGUUGUUAAACAGCAAGUUAAAGAGCACCGUGGUGAUCUACACGAAAUUCUAGUCAAGUUACAUAUAAAGUUCAUUAGAUUUGGAGCUACGGUCUAGAAGAUAAGAGCAAAACAAGUUAAACAUGGCAUUGAUGCAAAAUGCAUACAAACAUCAAGCAAACACCUCAAAACAAGGGUGCAACAUGAUAAUAUGAAGCUACAUGCAAAUCUAAGCAAGUUUCAUAUGGAGCAUGCUCGAAACGGAGCAACGGUGCAACGCAUACACUCCAAACAAGACAUAGCAACAAUCUGUCCAAAAUAGCAACUAGGCAUAAUGCAAGCAUCAAAACAAUAUGCUACAGCAACUCAACAUGAAAACAAAAGGCAUGGACAUGAUGUACAGGUAAAGCACAACAAAACAGGAACACUGAGCUAUCUCCAGAAAUCUCUAGAACAAGCUCAAAAGGACAUGGCAAGAUUGCAAAUAAUAACAGGUUCACAGACUUGGCAGAAAUUACUGGACAUGACAGAAAUAACAUCAGGUUGCAAUGUUCAGAGCACAAUAUCAACAUGCUACAGGAACUUAACAUAGCAAAGAAAGGCAUGGCAUGAAUCUACUCAAAGUAUAUAACAAAAGUCCCUUACUGACCAUAAGCCAAAAAGGACCAGAAGAUAUGAUGACAAGCAUGUAAACAUAGCAAGUUUCGUUAUCAGGUUUCAGACUUAGCAGAAAACAGAGCAUGGCAGAAACUAUAAUAAGAAGGCAUGUUGGUGAGCUUGAUGCACUCACCACAAAGCAAUGCAUGAUAGACCAAACAUACCUACAGCAAGAUGUCAAAUUUAUGAAGCUAACCAUGGCAAUAACAAUAGCAUAGCAUGUAUGGAUCAACUACAAUAAGCUUGGCAAGAUUGCAUAUCAUGUUAAGAAUCUGCAAGAAAUAUUUUAUAGCAAAAGUAGAGCAAGAUUGAGUCAUGCUAUGGCACUCCAUAAUUGCAAACAAUUGCAGGAAUGAAUCAAUCACAACUAUAUCUACAAAACAUCCUUACUGAACAUCUCCAAAAUAUGCAUGGAUCUCUCUGUAGCAUCAAGUUUACAAGGCAACAAAAUAACAGCAGACAAAGACUUUGAGAAAAUACCAAGUUUCUGAAAUCAGAAACAUUACGGAGCCUACUUUGCAUGCUUGUGCUAGUCACCACAGAGAUCACAAAAAUACAUGGCAUACACCACUGGAAAGAUGGCAUGGCAUAAUUCAAAACACAUGUAGAGCUCAUGCCCAUAAGAUGCACAGAAUAAAUGAUACAAAAAUGACAAAUCUCCAAGUUCUGUUAAGAACCAGAGCAUAACAGCAACUAGCCCUCUUCCAACAGAGAUUUGGGCAUCAAGAUGGACUCAAAUGAACAUGGUGCAAUGGAACAAAAUGAAGAGCAUCACGAGAUGAACAAUUUGACAUAUUACACGCGCGGAACGGAGCUAUAUGCAUGAAGUUACGAUGCAGAGAACAUGGCAACAUAUUAGAAAAGUUCAGGGACUUGGAGAUAUUUUCGGGGUCAACCUCGUGCACUGUAGAUCUGGAUCGAGAGGAAGUAGCUCGAGCUCGGGCUCGGGCUCGCCGGGGACUUGCCGAAGGAGAGGGAGAGGGCGAGGUGCGGUGGAGGGGGGAACGUCGGCGCCGGCGGGCGGCGCGCCGGCGACCGGACGGCGGGACGCGGGCGANNNNNNNNNNNNNNNNNNNNNNNNNNNNNNNNNNNNNNNNNNNNNNNNNNNNNNNNNNNNNNNNNNNNNNNNNNNNNNNNNNNNNNNNNNNNNNNNNNNNNNNNNNNNNNNNNNNNNNNNNNNNNNNNNNNNNNNNNNNNNNNNNNNNNNNNNNNNNNNNNNNNNNNNNNNNNNNNNNNNNNNNNNNNNNNNNNNNNNNNNNNNNNNNNNNNNNNNNNNNNNNNNNNNNNNNNNNNNNNNNNNNNNNNNNNNNNNNNNNNNNNNNNNNNNNNNNNNNNNNNNNNNNNNNNNNNNNNNNNNNNNNNNNNNNNNNNNNNNNNNNNNNNNNNNNNNNNNNNNNNNNNNGGGCCGGAUCUGGGCUCGCGGGCCCGCGGCGGGAAACGGCGGCGGCGAAGGCUGAGGUGGCGCGCUGUGAGUGGUGGAGGGAGGCGGCGGAGGCGACGUGGCGAUCCACGAUUGGCCGGGGCGACGUGGCCGGUGGACGCGUCCGGCGCGGGUGGACAUGUCCGGUAGCGCGAGGAUGAAGAUGACUAGGGUUAGGGUGGUUUCAUCCGUGGUUUGAGGAGGGGGAGGUGUUUAAAUAGGUAGAAGGAUCUAGGAGAGUCCAAACGGGGUGCGGUUUUCGCCCACGCGAUCGUGAUCGAAUGACCGAGAGCAUGGCGGAGACUUAGAGGGGUUUUGGGGCUGUUUGAAGGGGGGUUUUGCUGUAACACACAAAAGGACUUGCGGUUACCCGGUUAACCGUUGGAGUACCAAACGACCUCCAAAUGGAACGAAACUUGACCGGUGGUCUACCGGUAGUAUACCAAGGUCACUUGACAAGACUCGGUCCAUUCCGAGAAAGUUCAACACCCGCACACGAAAAGAAACAAGAGGGGUGCGCCGGAGGAGAUGGGAGUGCCGGAUUGCAAAACGGACAACGGGGAAAAUGCUCAGAUGCAUGAGACGAACACGUAUGCAAAUGCAAUGCUCAUGAUGACAUGAUAUGAAAUGCAGUGAUGACAUGGAAAAAUGCAACACGCAAGCAGAUGACAUGGCAACGACAGCGAAUAACUGGCAGACACCUGGCGCAUGGGAUCCGGGGCGUUACACUAGGCCUGCUGCAGAUGCUACUGAUGACGUUAAGAACGUCUGGCAGAGCAAAGCUGAUGACUACUCGAUAGUUCAGUGUGCCAUGCUUUACGGCUUAGAACCGAAACUUCAACGACGUUUUGAACGUCAUGGAGCAUAUGAGAUGUUCCAGGAGUUGAAGUUAAUAUUUCAAGCAAAUGCCCGGAUUGAGAGAUAUGAAGUCUCCAAUAAGUUCUAUAGCUGCAAGAUGGAGGAGAAUAGUUCUGUCAGUGAACAUAUACUCAGAAUGUCUGGGUACCACAACCACUUGACUCAACUGGGAGUUAAUCUUCCUGAUGAUAGUGUCAUUGACAGAGUUCUUCAAUCACUGCCACCAAGCUACAAAAGCUUCGUGAUGAUGCAAGGGAUGGAUAAGACAAUUCCCGAGCUCUUCGCGAUGCUAAAAGCUGCGGAGGUAGAAAUCAAGAAGGAGCAUCAAGUGUUGAUGGUCAACAAGACCACCAGUUUCAAGAAGAAGGGCAAAGGGAAGAAGGGGAACUUCAAGAAGAACGGCUAGCAAGUUGCUGCUCAAGUGAAGAAGCCCAAGUCUGGACCUAAGCCUGAGACUGAGUGCUUCUACUGCAAAGGGACUGGUCACUGGAAGUGGAACUGCCCCAAGUAUUUGGCGGGUAAGAAGGAUGGAAAAGUGAAAGGUAUAUUUGAUAUACAUGUUAUUGAUGUGUACUUAACUAAUGCUCGUAGUAGCGCCUGGGUAUUUGAUAAUGAUUCUGUUGCUCAUAUUUGUAACUCGAAACAGGGGCUACGGAUUAAGCGAAGAUUGGCUAAGGACGAGAUGACAAUGCGCGUAGGAAAAUGGUUCCAAAGUCGAUGUGAUCGCAGUCGGCACACUGCCUCUACAUCUACCUUCGGGAUUAGUUUUAGACCUGAAUAAUUGUUAUUUGGUGCCAGCGUUGAGCAGGAAUAUUAUAUCUAGAUCUUGUUUGAUGCAAGACGGUUAUUCAUUUAAAUCAGAGAAUAAUGGUUGUUCUAUUUAUAUGAGUAAUAUUUUUUAUGGUCAUGCACCCCUAAUGAGUGGUCUAUUUUUUUUGAAUCUCGAUAGUAGUGAUACACAUAUUCAUAGUAUUGAAGCCAUAAGAUAUAAGUUUAAUAAUGAUAGUGCAACUUAUUUGUGGCACUGCCGUUUAGGUCAUAUUGGUGUAAAGCGCGUGAAGAAACUCCAUGCUGAUGGGCUUUUGGAAUCACUUGAUUAUGAAUCACUUGAUACUUGCGAACCAUGCCUCAUGGGCAAGAUGACGAAGACUCCGUUCUCCGGAACUAUGGAGCGAGCAACAAACUUGUUGGAAAUAAUACAUACCGAUGUAUGCGGUCCGAUGAGUGUUGAUGCUCGCGGCGGGUAUCGUUAUUUUCUGACCUUCACAGAUGAUUUGAGCAGAUAUGGGUAUAUCUACUUAAUGAAACAUAAGUCUGAAACAUUUGAAAAGUUCAAAGAAUGUAGCGACCAGACCUCAAAUAGUCUGUGCUGCUGUGCACCAGUGUCAUCCGUGGAUCAGUAAUGCUGACACACACAGUACAAAUGGAGGAUUUAUAACAGAGUAGCAAUCACACACUUAUUACAACGAAUAUCUCAAAAGAGAAUAAGUAUGAUAAAUAUGGCUUAAGGCCAUCUAAAUACGAUAAUAGCGGAAGACUUGGAAGAUAAGUGAGUCCAUCAACUCCAACGGUAUCACUGAGUAUAAGACCACGACCUAAGGCACCUUACUCGUCGUCUGAAAAGUCUGCAACAUGAAACGUUGCAGCCCAAAAACGGGUCAGCACAUGGAAUAUGCUGGCAAUAUAACACAUAGAGAAUAAUGAACAUAAUAAUGCUAUACUACAUGCAUAUAUGGCUGGUGGAAAGCUCUAUGGUUACAGUUUUGCGAAAAGCCAAUUUUUGCCUACUGCAAAGGAAUAAAUUUUUAUUUAACUAUCAUGGUGGUUGUUAAACAUUGAGAAGGUACCUCCAACUCAAUCCCAAUUAAAUGUCAUCAUUAACCCAACAAAAUUAAUUAAAGUAACUUGGUGAUGAGAUUCACAUGAUAAUCCAGGUACUAGAUACUCAAGUUGUCCAUAACCGGGGACACGGCUAACCAUGAUUAGUUUGUACACUCUGCAGAGGUUUGUGCACUUUUCCCCACAAGACUCGAUCGCCUCCGCUUGAUUCUCGCACAACAUGAUGUUUGAGAAACGGAUGACCGAGACACAGUCUUUCAGAAACAAUCACCCUUUACUCCGGAUGGACAGUUACACGUACUCUCCCCUACAUCUGCUAGCCCACCUCUUCAAGAGAUCAUGUAACCUACUCAACUAUGCUAGAGCCCAUAAUAGCUUGUGGCUACACACGGAAGUCUCUAGCAUGAAUAAUUUUAUGAUCCCUUUGAGCCUGGGUGGCGGUCCUUAUAAAAACAGACAACACUGGGUUCUCCAGGUGCCUCAAUCCACCCAGAUGUGAUUUUUAGUUGCCACCUUAAGUAAACCAUUAUUAACAAUCUCACAUCUGUCAUGAAUAUCUCUCAAACCCAAUCCACGUCUACGAGCAUAGCAUGGCAAUAUAAGCAACGUAGAAAGUAACUCCCGAGGGUUUGAUAAAUAAAACAGGUAAUAGGUACUACCUCAACUACUUCCCAAUACCCACAGUUUAAUUAGAUCCUAGCCAUGCAAUGUUUGAGGAUUGAUCUAACGCAAUAAAAACUGGGUAUGGAAGAGUAUGAUCAAAGUGUUACUUGCCUUGCUGAUGAUCCGCGAAACCUAGAGAUUCGAAGUAACAAGCGGCGCACUCCGGGUACUCUAUCGCAAACAAACAAGCAAACAAUAAGUACUCAUAUAAUGUACAGGUAAAACUCGAAUAAAAGAUCCAACCAGAAAGUUCAACUUAAGAACUCCGGUUUGCAAAAAGAAUCAACUCGAACGAAGCAACGAAAGUCAAACGGCGAAAGAAAUAAGCUUCGUUUACUAUUCUGGAUCUAGGUCAAAUUUUACAGUAGCAAAAACUUGUUCGAGUAGGUUAAACAGAAAGAGAAUUUCGAGAUGAAACUCUAGGCGCUUGAAUCGCCUGAUUCCGAUAAACGAGCGAAAAGUUAAACAAAAACGAAGAUCCGAUCAGAAAUCGAGAUCUGGAAUAAUCGCGGAAAAAUCUGACGAAAAAGAAAACUGACGAACGGUUAAAGAAUGGACGUUCAUUAACAGCAAAAAUCCGACGAACACGUUCGUUAAAACGAACGGGUCGGUGAACGUUCACUAAAUAAUAAAACCGAAGAAAAAUAAACCAAUCUAGGGUUUAGAAAAAAACGAACGGUUUUGUUUUAGAAAACCGGCAACGGCGUCGGAUCGGUACCUCGUCGGGACGGGGCUCCGGCGGGGUCGGCGGGCUCCGGCGGGGUUCGGNNNNNNNNNNNNNNNNNNNNNNNNNNNNNNNNNNNNNNNNNNNNNNNNNNNNNNNNNNNNNNNNNNNNNNNNNNNNNNNNNNNNNNNNNNNNNNNNNNNNNNNNNNNNNNNNNNNNNNNNNNNNNNNNNNNNNNNNNNNNNNNNNNNNNNNNNNNNCGGCGGGGGUAUAUAUGAGGGGGGGGCUGCUUGGAGGAGGGGGCAAGGCGGCGGCGAUGGCGUGCUCGCCUCAGACUCGGGCGCGGCGGCGCUCGUGUGCGCGCGAGGGAGACGGCGGGGCUGGGCCGGCCGGCUCGGCUGGGCCUCGGCCCGGUCGGGCGCGAUGUUUUUUUUAAAAAUUAUUCCACCGAAUCUAAAAAAAUCACAGAAAAAUAAAUAAAAAUCCAAAAAUGAUAAAACAAAAUUUUCCCCGUCUAAUUAAAAUAAUUAGGACAAGGUGAACAUUUUUUUGACACAAAAAUGCAGUUUUGAAAACGUGCAAAUUUUUUUUAAUGCAAUUAAAAUUGCAAAUAAAAUCCGAAUAAAAUCCAAUAUAUGAUUUUAAUAUUUUCCUCCAAUAUUUCAAUUGUUUUGGAGAAGUCAUAUUUUCUCCUCUCAUUUAUUUUAAUAUGAAAUAUUUUUCCGGAGAGAAAAUAAUUAAAACCAAAAUCCUCGUUUUAUUAUUUGAUAAAAAUCAAAUAUGAAAAAUCGGGAAAAUCCCCAACUCUCUCCGAGGGUCCUUGAGUUGCUUAGGAUUUAUUAGAGGAUUUGCCAAAAUGCAAUAAAAUAUGCUAUGCAAUGAUGAUCUAUGUAUAACAUUCCAAAUUGAAAAUUUGGGAUGUUAGAAACCUACCCCCCUUAAGAUGAAUCUCGCCCUCGAGAUUCGGGUUGGCUAGAAAACAGGUGGGAGUAGUCCUUCUGUAGGUCUUCCUCUCGCUCCCAGGUGGCUUCAUCUUCCGUGUGGUGACUCCACUGGACUUUGCAAAACUUGAUAACCUUACUGCGGGUGACUCGGCUGGCAUACUCGAGAAUCUUAACUGGUUUCUCCUCAUAGGUCAAAUCACUUCCCAGCUGAAUCGCUUCCAGUGGCACUGUAUCUCUCAGUGGUAUCUCAGCCAUCUCUGCGUGGCACUUCUUCAACUGUGAAACGUGAAAUACAUCAUGAACUCCUGACAAUCCUUCGGGCAAUUCCAGUUUGUAGGCAACUUCUCCCAUACGUUCCAAAACUCUAUAUGGUCCGAUAAAACGGGGCGCUAGCUUUCCCUUAACUCCAAAGCGCUUCACUCCUCGAAGUGGUGAUACCCGAAGAUAAACUCUGUCUCCGACUUCGUAAACUGUCUCCUUUCGUUUAGAAUCCGCAUAACUCUUGUGUCUGGACUGGGCUACCUUGAGCCUAUCGCGAAUCAACCUCACUUUCUGUUCAGACUCCUUAAUCAAAUCUGGUCCAAACAACUGACGGUCUCCUACUUCGUCCCAUAACAAUGGUGUUCUACACCUCCUUCCGUACAAAGCUUCGAAAGGGGCCAUCUUCAAACUGGUUUGAUAACUGUUGUUGUAGGAAAACUCUGCAUAUGGCAAAUUGUCGUCCCAACUAGAUCCAUAAUCUAGUGCACAUGCUCUCAACAUGUCCUCCAAAAUCUGAUUGACUCUCUCGGUCUGUCCAUCUGUCUGUGGGUGAAAGGCUGCACUAAAUUCUAGCCUGGUUCCCAAUGUUUCAUGUAACUGCUUCCAAAACUUCGAGGUAAACUGGGUUCCUCUGUCUGAUACAAUGGUCCUCGGAACUCCAUGCAAACAUACGAUCCUGGUCAUGUAUAUCUUUGCCAACUUAGCACUAGUGUAAGUGGUCUUUACUGGAAUGAAAUGAGCUACUUUCGUCAAACGGUCGACUACAACCCAUAUUGAGUCAUAGCCUGAAUGAUUCCUGGUCAAUCCCGUGAUAAAAUCCAUGCCUAUUUUAUCCCACUUCCAUUCGGGUAUCGGCAAUGGUUGUAGCAAUCCUGCUGGCUUCUGAUGCUCUGCCUUCAGUCUCUGACAUACAUCACAAACUGCUACAUACUCCGCAAUAUCCUUCUUCAUUCCGGUCCACCAGAAAGUAUCCUUCAAAUCCAAAUACAUCUUGGUAUUUCCUGGGUGAAUCGAAUACGGUGAAUCAUGGGCCUCUUGCAAAAUCAACUUCCUGAUCUCCGGAUCAUUUGGCACGUAAACGCGGUCCUCAAACCAUAAGGUAUCGUGCUCAUCCUCACGAAAACCCUUGGCUUUUCCUUUGCUCAUCUUUUCCUUUAUCUCGUCAAUCUCCUUGUCUGACUUCUGAGCUUCUCUGAUCUUUUCCAUCAAGGUAGACUGAAUCUCCAAUGUCGCCAAAUAGCCUCUUGGGACUAUCUCCAAACAUAGCUCGCGAAGGUCCUCGGCUAACUCCUGAGGUAACUCUCCUGUCAUGAGGGUGUUGACAUGGCUCUUGCGGCUCAACGCAUCAGCUACUACGUUAGCCUUCCCUGGGUGAUAAUGCAAUCUCAUAUCAUAGUCCUUAAUAAGCUCCAACCAUCUCCUCUGUCUGAGAUUUAACUCCUUCUGCGUGAAAAUAUACUUCAAACUCUUGUGAUCCGUGUACACCUCACAAUGGUUUCCGAUGAGAAAAUGUCUCCAUGUCUUCAACACAUGCACCACGGCUGCUAACUCCAAAUCAUGCGUAGCAUAAUUCUUCUCAUGGGGUUUAAGUUGUCGUGAAGCAUAUGACACAACUCUACCUUCCUGCAUAAGCACUGCUCCAAGUCCUCGACGAGAAGCAUCACAAUAAACUUCAUAAUCCUUGCGCUGGUCUGGCAGAAUCAACACUGGUGAUGUAACCAAUCGUUUCUUCAAUUCUUGGAAACUAGCUUCACAAUCCUCAGUCCAAUUGAAUUUGGUGUCCUUCUUCAAUAGCUCAGUCAUGGGCUUUGCAAUCUUUGAGAAAUUCUCAAUGAACCACCGGUAGUAUCCUGCAAGUCCAUGGAAACUCCGGAUCUCUCCAACUGACGUGGGUGAUUCCCAACUUGUUACUGUGUCCACUUUGGCGGGGUCUACUGCUAUUCCUUCUCCAGAAAUAACAUGUCCGAGGAAUCCAACUUCCUUCAGCCAAAAUUCACAUUUGCUGAACUUGGCAUAUAACUGAUGUUCUCUGAGCUUCUCAAGUACCAAUCGCAAAUGCUCCUCAUGCUCUUCCUCAUUCUUGGAAAAGACUAAAAUAUCGUCAAUGAACACCACGACGAACUUAUCCAAAAACUCCAUAAACACUUUGUUCAUCAGGUUCAUGAAAUAGGCAGGUGCGUUAGUCAGACCAAAUGACAUAACGGUAUACUUGUAUAGCCCAUACCUGGUGGUAAAAGCCGUCUUAGGUAUAUCCUGCUCUCGAAUCUUUAACUGAUGGUAUCAUGAUCGUAGAUCGAUCUUGGAAAAUACUUUAGCUCCUUGUAAGCGGUCAAACAAAUCAUUGAUCAUCGGCAGUGGGUACUUGUUUUUGAUGGUCACUUCAUUCAAUCCACGGUAAUCAACAACCAUCCUCAACGAUCCAUCUUUCUUCUCCACUAGAAGUACUGGUGAUCCCCAAGGUGACGAACUUGGGCGAAUAUAGCCUUUAUCCAAUAACUCCUUAAUCUGCUUCUUAAUUUCCUCCAAAUCUUUUGCGGGCAUCCUGUACGGUCUCUUAGAUAUUGGCCCUGUGCCUGGCAAAAGUUCAAUCAAGAACUCAAUGUGUCUAUCUGGUGGCAUGCCUGGCAACUCUUCUGGAAAAACAUCCGGGUAAUCCUUCACCACUGGUACUUCCUCCUGUACCACUCCUGAUAAGGAAUUCACUUGAGUCCUCUUCGGCACAUGCCGGGAUACAUACUUGAUCCUUCUUCCUUCUGGGGUGGUAAGCAAAAUCGACUUACUGGCGCAAUCGAUGUUUCCUCCAUACAUCGAUAGCCAAUCCAUUCCCAAAAUCACAUCCAAACCUUGCGACUCCAAAAUUAUUAGGUCCGAGGGGAAAACAUGCCUACCAAUGGCCAAUGGCAUCUGAAAACAUCCUUGGCUUGCCAUAUACUCUGCUCCUGGCGAGGUUACUAACAUAGGUGUUUUGAGAACUUUGGUGGGCAACUUAAACUUAUCCACAAAUCCCCUUGAUAUGUAUGAAUGCGAUGCACCAGUAUCGAAAAGAACGAUUGCAGUAAAUGAGUUAACCAAAAACUUACCUAUUACUGCAUCAGGCUGUGCUUCAACCUCUUCCACGCUCACGUGGUUCACAUGUCCUUUGUUGAACGGGUUUGGCUUCUUCCCAGAGCUUCCAUUGCAUUACCAUUCUGGGCUUCAUGACAAUCAGUUGCAUAAUGUCCAGUCUUCUGGCACUUGAAACAAGUAAUGUGACUUAGAUCCCUCUUGGCUGGGGUAUGGGUUGGUGCGGUUCUGUCCGUUGGUUCCUCCGUUCCCAUUACCAUUCUUGGAGCCAUUAUGGUUGUGCGAACUACCUCCUCCAUGGGUAUGCUGAAACUGUCCUCCCGGUUUCGGGGCAAAACGUAGCUUCUGCUGAGCUCCAGAAUUGUACUUCCCUUGUCCAUACUUCCUCUUACGGUUUUCAAUCUGCUGUUGUUUCCCUUCAAUCAUGAGAGCUCUAUCUACCAACUCCUGGUAGUUGUUGAAGGUUGCUACCAUCAACUGCAUACUCAGUUCAUCAUUCAGUCCUUCCAAAAACUUCUCCUGCUUGGCUGGAUCUGUAGCAACGUCAUCUGGUGCAUAACGUGCUAACUUACUGAAAUCCUCCACAUACUGGCCUACGGUGCGUCCUCCUUGGCGUAGGUUGCGAAACUCACGCUUCUUCAUAGCCAUAGCUCCCGCUGAAACAUGAGCUGUACGGAAAGCUUGCUGAAACUGGUCCCAUGUGACAGUGUCAAUAGGGUGUGUGGCUGUGUAAUUCUCCCACCAUGAUGCUGCGGGUCAAUCAAGCUGAUGUGCGGCAAAACGCACUCUUUCUGCAUCUGUGCAUCCUGCAGUGGUCAACUCCCUUCCAACUUUGUGGAGCCAAUCAUCUGCAACAAUCGGCUCGGUGCUACUGGAAAACACCGGCGGGUUUAGCCUCAAGAAACGGGCUAAGUGAUCAACAGGUGGAGGUGGUGGGUUGUUGUUGUUGUUGCCUUGGUUCUGUACUAACACUUGCAUCAGGGCAUUCUGUUGCUGAAUCAACUGGGUGAUCUCCGGUGGGAAAACAAAUCCGGUGUCACGUCUCGGAGGCAUCUGAUGGGUUAGAAAAGAUGAGAGUUAAGAAUAGAAUGAGGUCUAGAGGGAAAACACUACCCAUAUGCUCAUGAGACAAAUACAAUCAAUAUCACUCAAUCAAUUCAAACAAGGCAUACAAUCGAUCUAACUAGCGUUACAAAGUGCUUGAACUAUACUAUUAAAUGGGGGAAAACUACUACUGAUAUGGUGGUCUACUAGAAAUUCUGAUCAGUUGAAGACUCCAUGAUAUCUGCUCCAGCUUCAUCAACAAAGUCAUCUUCAUUGGGGUCCGAGUCGGUGUCGUUGAUGAUGAUGUAGUUAUCCGGGCAAGCGCAUUCGUCAUCUUCUGCGUUUGGCACUGGAUUUCCCAUGAAUACUCCAAUCUUCUUCUCCAGGUCGUCAUUCUUCCCUACUAGUGCGAUGAUUUCCUCCAAAUAAUCCUCGCGUGUAGCCUUGAGUUCUUCCUCCAGCUCCUUGAUCUUCGUCAAUGCCUUCUUCAGAUCUUCCUUGUCUGAGCACAUCUGGUUCUCCUGGCGACGAAUGUGUUGGUUUUGCUCCUAGAUGAAAACUGCAAUUGAUCCAUCCUUCUUGGUUCUGAUCAUCUCCCAUUGCUCGUCUCGGCGUCCACAAAUCUGAUAAAUUGUAUCCUUAAGCUCCCUGUGGUAGACUUCUCCAAUGCGUCCCAUAGCGAUGUGGGCGGCCAUGCUCUUCCCUAAACUCCAGGUUGGUGCUUCGAAAACCAAUCUUAUGGGUUCAGUAACUGGCACAAAUGUCCUUCCUGGAACUUGAACUUGAAUCUUCCAGCUCUCCUCUUCGGGUAAUGUGGCGUUGUAGGUUCCGGUGAUGCUUGGUAUUCCUAUGUUCAAGUACAUAGUGAUUUCCUUCAAGUGUCGUCCAAAAUGUGUAUCUUCAUCUGGUUGCAUGAACUUGCUCCUUGCAUCCGCCAUUCCUAAAAGAGUAGAAUGUGGAGAGGGGUCAGAAAUGAGAAGAGAGAAGUGUUCUAGGGCUUAAGCUUAGUGGUCGUGUCCUACAGUCAGCGUGUGCUCUGAUACCACCUUUGUAGCGACCAGACCUCAAAUAGUCUGUGCUGCUGUGCACCAGUGUCAUCCCUGGAUCAGUAAUGCUGACACGCACAGUACAAAUGGAGGAUUUAUAAUAGAGUAGCAAUCACACACUUAUUACAACGAAUAUCUCAAAAGAGAAUAAGUAUGAUAAAUAUGGCUUAAGGCCAUCUAAAUACGAUAACAGCGGAAGACUUGGAAGAUAAGUGAGUCCAUCAACUGCAACGGCAUCACUGAGUAUAAGACCACGACCUAAGGCACCUUACUCGUCGUCUGAAAAGUCUGCAACAUGAAACGUUGCAGCCCGAAAACGGGUCAGCACAUGGAAUAUGCUGGCAAUAUAACACAUAGAGAAUAAUGAACAUAAUAAUGCUAUACUAUAUGCAUAUAUGGCUGGUGGAAAGCUCUAUGGUUACAGUUUUGCGAAAAGCCAAUUUUUGCCUACUGCAAAGGAAUAAAUUUUUAUUUAACUAUCAUGGUGGUUGUUAAACAUUGAGAAGGUACCUCCAACUCAAUCCCAAUUAAAUGUCAUCAUUAACCCAACAAAAUUAAUUAAAGUAACUUGGUGAUGAGAUUCACAUGAUAAUCCAGGUACUAGAUACUCAAGUUGUCCAUAACCGGGGACACGGCUAACCAUGAUUAGUUUGUACACUCUGCAGAGGUUUGUGCACUUUUCCCCACAAGACUCGAUCGCCUCCGCUUGAUUCUUGCACUACAUGAUGUUUGAGAAACGGAUGACCGAGACAGUCUUUCAGAAACAAUCACCCUUUACUCCGGAUGGACAGUUACACCUACUUUCCCCUACAUCUGCUAGCCCACCUCUUCAAGAGAUCAUGUAACCUACUCAACUAUGCUAGAGCCCAUAAUAGCUUGUGGCUGCACACGGAAGUCUUUAGCAUGAAUAAUCUUAUGAUCCCUUUGAGCCUGGGUGGCGGUCCUUAUAAAAACAGAAAACACUGGGUUCUCCAGGUGCCUCAAUCCACCUAGAUGUGAGUUUUAGUUGCCACCUUAAGUAAACCAUUAUUAACAAUCUCACAUCUGUCAUGAAUAUCUCUCAAACCCAAUCCACGUCUACGAGCAUAGCAUGGCAAUAUAAGCAACGUAGAAAGUAACUCCCGAGGGUUUGAUAAAUAAAACAGGUAAUAGGUACUACCUCAACUACUUCCCAAUACCCACAGUUUAAUUAGAUCCUAGCCAUGCAAUGUUUGAGGAUUGAUCUAAUGCAAUAAAAACUGGGUAUGGAAGAGUAUGAUCAAAGUGUUACUUGCCUUGCUGAUGAUCCGCGAAACCUAGAGAUUCGAAGUAACAAGCGGCGCACUCCGGGUACUCUAUCGCAAACAAACAAGCAAACAAUAAGUACUCAUCUAAUGCACAGGUAAAACUCGAAUAAAAGAUCCAACCAGAAAGUUCAACUUAAGAACUCCGGUUUGCAAAAAGAAUCAACUCGAACGAAGCAACGAAAGUCAAACGGCGAAAGAAACAAGCUUCGUUUACUAUUCUGGAUCUAGGUCAAAUUUUACAGUACCAAAAGCUUGUUCGAGUAGUUUAAACAGAAAGAGAAUUUCGAGACGAAACUCUAGGCGCUUGAAUCGCCUGAUUCCGAUAAACGAGCGAAAAGUUAAACAAAAACGAAGAUCCGAUCAGAAAUCGAGAUCUGGAAUAAUCGCGGAAAAAUCUGACGAAAAAAAAACUGACGAACGGUUAAAGAACGGACGUUCGUUAACAGCGAAAAUCCGACGAACACAUUCGUUAAAACGAACGGGUCGGUGAACGUUCA
This 46735-nucleotide long non-coding RNA is filed under the name Triticum aestivum (bread wheat). RNAcentral's name for it is "long non-coding RNA (TAES_LNC028660)". The record is from RNAcentral. Lineage: Eukaryota; Viridiplantae; Streptophyta; Magnoliopsida; Poales; Poaceae.